RNAcentral lists this long non-coding RNA (44741 nucleotides) under Vitis vinifera (wine grape). RNAcentral describes it as "long non-coding RNA (VVIN_LNC001392)". The record is from RNAcentral. Lineage: Eukaryota; Viridiplantae; Streptophyta; Magnoliopsida; Vitales; Vitaceae.
GCGGUGGUCUCACUACUCUUGGGGGUAGAGUUGGUGUCUUGUGUUUUGGUGGUGGAGGUGGCUUAACAGGAGUUGGUGGCUUGUAUUCUGGGGGUGGUUUCUCCACCGGAGGUGGCUUAUAAACUGGAGUUGGUGGCUUGUAUUCUGGGGGUGGCUUCUCCACUGGUGGUGGCCUGUAAACAGGGGUUGGUGGCUUAUAUUCUGGGGGAGGCUUCUCCACUGGAGGCGACUUAUAAACAGGGGUUGGUGGCUUGUAUUCCGGGGGUGGCUUCUCUACGGGAGGUGGCCUGUAAACAGGGGUUGGUGGCUUCUCCACCGGAGGUGGCUUAUAAACGGGGGUUGGUGGCUUGUAUUCUGGGGGUGGUUUCCCCAGUGGUGGAGACUUGUAAACAGGAAGAGGUGGUUUGUGCUCAUAUGGGGGUGGCUUGUGGUCAUUAGCAAGUGAGGGAGUGGUGAGGACCACCAAUCCAAGGAACAACACGAGUGAGCAAGCAGAAGACAUGUUUGGGCUCUGGUGAUGCACAAGUAGAAGAAAUGGGAACCAUUUAUAAUGCUUCGAGACCUUGGUUAGCACCAAAAUAUGUCAAAAUCUUGAUUACUUCAUUUCAUACAUAGAUUUAAAAUUAUUUCAAUCAACCAUGAUCCUUAAUUUUCUGGGUGGUCCAUAAAUGUAAUGGGGUCAAUUUGGGACCUAACAAGCUGAGAAGUUUGACAAUGCUGCAAGGCUUCAUCCGAAAGUCCGGGGAAGAAUAUUAGGAGUUACACUCCGUUUCCUUUUUUGGGUGCAUUUUUCUCCUUUAACAUUCUAUUCCCUUUUACAUUAGCAUUUGAUCUUAGCUCAUUUCAAGUACAAGUUUCUUGAACCCUAUACCAUUGUCAAAGUUGAGUAACCAUCUCUACUUUGCUCAAGAAACAUAAAAGACAAUGACAAUAAAGAAAAAGGAGAGAGACCAUACGUGACUUGGUUUAUAGGUGGCUUUGUGUUGACAUUUGAGUAUGGAAGCCGACAUGCAUCUUAGCUUCGAUUUUAAUUAAAUUUGUACAUUAGUGUCUGUGUCAUUCAUUUUGGUAUAAAAGGUCUCUUGAUUUCGUAAGUUUGGUAAGAACCGUUGAAAAUAGCAGUAGCAGCACAUGGUCCACUUUCUUUCACAAAAUAAUUUUAAAAGUUUAGAAGCAUAGGAGGUAACAUUAGUGGCCUUGUGGCUCAGCCACGAGUACUAUGUGGUGCUCGAGAAAUUGAGUUUAAUUUCCUUCCGAUAGUUCAUGAUAAGGUCCGUCACUGUCCUGAGACAGAUUGCGUUUUUUCUUUUUUCCUUUUUUAGUGUUUUAUUGACUAGCUAGGUGUGACUUUUCCUACUUUAAGGCACGAGGCAGAAAAGAAACUGGGAUUUAGUGCUUAAGAAGGCAAAUUUAAUUCGAUUUGGAUCUAAAAUUUGCCAGCAACAUGAGAUUUUCCAGCCUAUCGUUGCUCCACAUAUAGACAAGGCACUUGUAGAAGUGGCUUGUUUGUAGCCAUUCCCGAUAUUUGGACUCACUUGAUUCACCGGACACUUUGAUAAAAUUUAAUAUUUAUUAUUUAAUAAUUUAAAUUGAUUUAAAAUUAAAUUAUACCGAAGUUGUGAUUUAAAAAUUAUUAUUUAAUUCUUACUUUUAAAUAUGAAGAUUAUUUGAUAAAAAUAAUUUAAAAUUUAUUAUAAAUUAUCAAAUUAACAUAUUUAUCCUUAUAAAUUAUAAUUAAAACAGAAAAGGUCAAAUGAUUUGAGUAUCCAUAGAUGUGGUAAAAUAAUAAAAAAGAUUAUAAAAACAAUUAUGAUAAAUAAAGAUAAAAAGUAAAAUGAAUAUGUGAAUUUAAAGAAUAAAUUAAUUAUUUUUAUUUAUUACUUAAAAUUAUUUUUGACUUUAAAUUAUAUUAUUAAAUUAUUUUACCAAACAUACUUAAUUUAGUUAAUAAUUUAAAUUUAAUUUAAGUUAUUAAAUUGAUUCACCAAAUACCCACUUAAUCAAAGACUGAAGUAUACAUUAUUUGGCCAAAUGCAGCUAUUGAAAUUUAACUUUUUCCAAACUUAUUCAUUUUGUGGAAAUAUUUUUAGAAAUGAUUUUAAAAAUGCACUAUUCUGUGUGUUGAUUUUAUAUUUUGGCAUUAAUCCAACAUAGAAAACGGUUCUUAUUUUCGCUGUUAAAUAGGUACCAGAUCCUUAAUUAGUGCCGUGAAUCCGGCAGCUUCCAAUGAGUAAUUUGGACUUGGGUAUUGACAAUGUGUGGCCAUGCUUCUACUAUUUUAUUAUUCUUGAAACAUAUAUGAUAUAUUGGACUUUAUACAGGGAAAAAAAAAAAAAAAAGUCUUCACCAAAAAUGAUUCCUCCUAAAAAAUAGACUCCACAAACUAGGUUUAACAGGAAAAUGAUUCUAAUCUAGUAGUUUCCAGCCACAUGAGCAUUUACGUAACAAUAGUAUAGUUGAUAACGACUUUUAUUUUAUUUAUUUUUAAAUAGUUAAAGGGAUAAUUUUUGAGCUUAAAUUUUAUUUUUUUAUUUAGAAACAUUUUACUUUAUUUUUUAAUCAUAAUUCUAUUAUAUUAAUGUUUUAUUUUCUAUUUUUUAAUAUAUAAGGAGAUACUAAAUUUAUGUGAUUAUUUUUUAAAAAUUUAGUAUAUGAAAUUAAAUAAUUGGAUAUAUAUACAUAUAUCAUAUAAUGUUUUUUAAGUGUGAUUUUUGAACUUUUUAGUCAUUUUAUAAGUUUAAGCUUUUGAUUUUUUUUUUUAAACUUUGGUAUUUUUUAUUUUAUAUAAAACUAUUUUGAUUUAAUUUUAUUAAAAAAUAUUGGUAUUAUAAAUUAUUGUAUUAAUUAUUUUUUUAUAUUAUAAUGUAACUGGUAUAUACUAAAAAAUGUAUGCAAGUUCAAUUUAAGUUUCAAAUUAAAAAAUUUCAUUUAAAUAUUUAAUAACUUGUUCAUAAUAAAAAAUUAAACAACAUAAUACAAAUGAAAAGAAACAUAAAAGAAAAAGGAAAAAAUGGUCCUCUCUGUGUGUCACAUUACUAGGUCAUCCUCUUUUUCUAUGACCCUUACAAUAGAAUGGCAUAUUUGUCAAAUCUACUUAUGAAAGUUGGAAUGUUUCUACAUGUGUAGGGUCCAUUGGAACUAAUGGAGGAAAGGCUUAACGUCUAUGUAAAUCACAACGUUGCCUAGGUGGGCAUAGAUCUAGUUGUGUAACAUGAGAUGGUGUGAGAGUACAAUAUAUGCAUUGUAGUCUCUAUGGGAAGAGAGAUAGGUAAUGGUAGGGUGGUAGACGGUAGGGUGAUCUCUAAUAUAAUGACAUUUGAUGUGGUGGCUUCUAAGAGAGGAGAUAUAAGAGAUGGUAGAAUGACAUUUGGUGUAAUGGUCUCUAGUGCAAUGACAUGUGAUAUGGUGACCUAUAAAGAAGAGAUAUAGGUGAUGGUGAAGUGGUAUGUGGUGUAGUGACCUUUGAGAUAGAAAAUAGAGGUAAUGGUAGGUUGGCAGGUGGAGUGGUCUUUGGUGUAGUGACAUCAAUUAUAAAUGUCUCCAAGGGAGGAAAUAAAGGUGAUGGUAGGUAGUAAAUGUUGAGGUGGUCUUUGAUAUGUUAUGCUCUAAGAGAGAAGGUAUAGGUAAUGAUAAUAGGGAAUUUGACAUAGUGGUGUUGGAAAUAAAAAGUGAAAGUGACCGUAGAGGUGAAAGGGCAAGUGUAAAAGCCUCAAGUACGAAUGGAGUAAUUAAUGUGGAUGGUGCUAACAUAGUCUUAGGUGGAUACACAAAUAGUCAUAGUCAUCAACUAGCUUGCCCACCAUCUGUCUUUCUGCUAGUGAUAGGUUACAUCUUAAUAGUAAUGGCCAACAUAAGUGGUGUGGAUCCGAUUUUUUUACGUGUGUCCCCACUCAAUCGACAAGACUUAUUUUUUAUUAGUGAAAAAUUAAUUUUGGAAAAGUUGGAGUCACCACUUAUUUUAUUUUAUUUUAAAAAGGAAAGUAAAACAAGAAAGAGAACUCUAAAGAAGUGACUUCAUAGUUUUGGAAAAGUUAGUCUUAAAAAAUCCAAGUCUUGGUCCGGAGAUCAGGUUACUUAUUGGGAAGAUACCUCUAAGAGGUAAUACCCCUCUAAACCCUAAAGAAGUCUCUAAUGACUAAGUUGAGGAGAAUGUGGUAAUUAAUUAAUUGAUUGAGGGUACCUAGGUAGACUAAGGUGAUUUCAGAAUUAACAUACCAAGCUAGAAAGUCCAAUCAUGAUCAUAAAAGAGAGUCAAAGUAUGUACCUGAACUGCUUCUCAAACGCUAUCAUAAAACAUCAAAGUUAGUAUAGAAAUAUAACACAUAAUAUUUGUUUUAUCCAAGCAAAUAAAGCAUACAUCUAAGCACCCAAGAAUCACAUCAAGUAUGGAUAUAGUCAUCAAUAGCAUACGUGUCCAUAGAACUAUCGAAAGUAAAUGUGGAGGAGCGUAUCUGGACAACAUAGAUAACUUAUAAUGUGCUUCCACAAGACAUGGGGGUUAGAUAAAAGUUAUAAUAAUAAUUAGUAAAUGAAAGAAUUCUAGCAUGUUUGGUAUCUAAAUAACAUAGCAAAAAUGAACAAGAGUACACGAAAACAUCAAUUAUCACACGAGUCAUAUUGGCUAGUAUUUAAUCAAUAAACCAACAAUAAAUGACUAUAAACAUAUAAAAUGACAUAUUCAAAGAGACCCAAACAUAAAGAGCCUAGAACACAAGCUUACACUAAAUUUAGAAAACUAAAACAUGGAAUUUUAAAAGCAUAAAUUAGCAAACAAAUUGAUGGAAACUAAAUUUAGAUAACUUAAGAAUAUUUUUCUUAUCCUUCAAUUUAAAUCAGUAAGCCAACAAUAAAAAAUUAUAGAAACAUGGAAUAUCAAGAUCAAUGGGAUACCUAAACUAUAAUUUUUAAAAGAAAAUAAACUAAGCAUAAUAUCUACAAAGCAACUAAACUAACAUUUUUUUAAAAAUAAAUUAAACAUGACAUUAAUGGAGUAACCAAACUAAAUUAAAGUAAACUAAAAACAUUUAUGAAUUUUCAAACAUGGAAUCAGCUUUCUUAGUAAAUUAAAAUUAUUAAAAUAAAAUCUAAGCUUAAAAAUGAAUUAAAUACUAACUAAAGCAAAUCUAAAACCAAAUAUUUAACACAUAGGAUCAAUUAUAUUAACAAACUAAAAUUUUAUAAGAACACUUAAACCUAAAGUUGAAUUAAAAACUAACCAAUUUUUAAAACUAGAUCUUUAACCCAUAGGAUCAAUUAUAUUAACAAAUAAAUAAUAAAUAAUAAAUAAAUAAAACUCAAACCUAAAGAUGAACUAGAAAUGUACCAAAGUAAAUUCAAAACAAGAUCUUUAACACAUUAGAUCAAUUAUAUUGACUAACUAAAAAAAAAAAAAAAAAACACUCAAACCUGAAACGAUGUAUUAGAAACUAACCAAAGCAAAUUUAAAAUAGAGUCUUUAACACAUAGGAUCAAUUAUAAUCACUAACUUAAAUUACAAUUUUUGAAACAUGAACUAAUUAGUGUUGGAUUAAUUAAACUAAUUAACUAAAAAAAACUAUAAACUAGAAUACGGUGAAUCAAGAAUUCAAAUCAACAAACAUAAAAUAUGGGUACAAUGAAAUGAAAAUCUAUUAAACUAAUAAGACGGAAAUAUGACAAACUCAUGAACCCACAUUUUGAUCAACUAGGAAAUAGAAAUUAAUAGACCUGUAGCAUGGAUACAAUGAAAUGAGAUCAGUUAAAUUUAUUUGCCGAAAUUCUAAAAAACACAUACACUCAAAUAAGAUCUAAAUCUAAGACCAAGCAAAACUCAAACUUUCUCAAUCUAAUGCAAUGAAUCAAAACUAAAAUUAAAUAGAAAUCAAACCAUUUUUUUUUUAUCUAAUAUAAUAAAUCAAAGCUAAAACUAAACAAAAUCGAAUUUUCUUAAUUUAAUAUGAUGAGUCAAAGCUAAAAUUGAACAAAGUUCAAACCUUUAUAUAAUGGAUCAAAGUUAAAUCUAAAUGAAAUCCAUACUUCCACAAUUUGAUAUAACAAAUCAAAAAUAAAACUAGAUAAAAAAAAAGUCAAAGCCUUUCAACUUGACAUAGUGAAUCCAAACUGAAACGAAACAAAAUUUUAACUUUUCCAAUGAAACCCAAUAUAGAAAAAAUUAGCUUACCUUCUUUAGAAUAUAUGUAUGGGCCAUAAAGAAGUCACCUUGGUGCAUGUGUUCCUCACUUUGACGCCAAUGGACGACUUUCUAUGGUAGCAAAUGGAGAUCCUUUUUGGUGGUAACUUGCGUGUGGAAACCUAUGGUACAACCAAUGUCAUCUUUUAUUGUGCGUGUGGACCAAUUUCUUCUCGAGAACUCAUGUGUGUUGUGCUCAAAAUAUGUUGCCUGUGAGAAUCUAUUGGUAUACCCCACAUAUGGUUUCCUUGAGAGAAUCUGUGGUUGUGUGUGGGCGUUUUCUUCAUGACAGCAUGUGGAUGUUCCCAUCUAUGGUAGAUUGGUUGUGAUGCUUUAGUGCAUGGUCUCCAUAGGAAUAGUGUGUUAUGGAAAUUUGGUUUUUUUAUUGGUGCAUGUUGUCUAGACUUUCCCAUAUGCGUGGACUGUGUGUUCAUGCUUUUCUUUUCGGAUGGUCGCCUGUGUUAAUGUGUGGCGGUGUCUACAAUGAAAGAUACAACCCUUUCUCUCCUUCUGCGUGAUAGAAAAGUCAAUCCCCCAUGGUGCGACUAUGUUCCCUCGUCCUUUUUGAAAAAUUUUGGUGUUUUCCCCCCAAAAAAUCCCCUCCAAAAAUCUAAUUAUAAAUGUCUGCUUUGGCCUAAUGUGUGUGCUACUUUUUUUUUCCUUCUUUUUAUGGUUGUGCGUGCUUUUCUUGAUACGUGGCUUAUUUCUUAAGGAUAUGAUUCGCUCCCAAUUGGUGUCUCAGCUGAUUCAUGUCCUUUCAAUGGUCCCUGACAGUGGUGCCAUUUGAUUCGUGUCCAGCUGGUGUCCCUUGAUUGUGGUCCUCAGAAGGGAGUAAUCAAUAAAAUUUAUAACCUAUUACACCAUGUAUUAGGAUAGCCUUAGCUAGCAUAGCAUAGUGGCUCUAGGGUCGUUUAUUGGGAUGAGUUUUCACUUCACAAUUGAUAUUAAUUCAAGAGCUGAAUUGGUGCCUUUUCAUUUCAAGGUUAGCUUUAAAAGAAAACAUAAUCUUUGGUGGAAAAAGGUUUGGUUUUAAACUAACCAAAAAUAGUAACUGAUUUUACUUACAAAGAAAAGUGUUCUUUGGAGUUUAGAUCACUAGGCUCAGGUUCCUCAUACAAAAAGGAGAGUUCCGAUCAUUUGUUUCUUUUCCUCGCAUUAGAGAAUUAACAUAUAGUUAAUUCUCUAACCGGUGCGGUACAUAUGCUUCCCAUUAAUGGGUUCAAACACUAAAUACCUCUCACUGAUGCACCUUGCAAUGGCUCGUGCCUCUCACCUAGCAUUUAUCAUUCAAGGUGAUCUUUAACCUUGGAUUACCCAUCAAAAGCUCGCAAGAGAUAACUAAAGGAUGUCUCCUUAGAGUCCAAAAGCUUACCAAGUGUUGGUUAUUCUAGAAAAUCCUACCUUCAAACCACCUCCCAAAGGCUCGCAAGAGAUAAACAAGUGCAUCUCAAUGGAUGAAGAUCACUUGCCUUACCAAGUUUUGGCCCAGAUGAUUUAAUGACAUUUUAAGUUAACUAAAAAGAUAAAAACCAUUAACGGGUCACACUUUCUCUUCAUUAAAAACUAAAACAACAAAACUUCCAAUUUAUGCAUGAGGAAACUUACCUGGCUUUCUUCACUUCAAGAGAUGAAGAGCCUAGCCACUCAUCAUUUGAGGAAAAAUCCUCAGAGUUUGAUUUGCUAGAAAUAAAAAUAAUGAGAAAACAAAAAUAUAUAUAUGAAAAACAGAGCAAGUUCUCUGUAAUAUAUUUUUCUUCCUUAUACAAAAGGUUGUCUCUAAGAACAAGUUCCCGAGAUCUAUCUGAUUGUAAAUAAAAUUACAACUAUAUAUAAGAGGUUAUUCACCCCUUUGUUCUUUCUUAAAGACUAAGGAAUCCUAUGAUAGGUGGGUUACAAGGAGAGUUUGGGGAUUUAGACAUCAAAUAUCUAAAGCAAAAUAUCUCAAGAUGUUAGUCGGAAAUAUCAGGAAGCUUCAGGAGAACACCGCGACACUGUAUACUGAGAGAAAAACUCUCCGGGUAAGCUCUAUCAAAGGAUCCAGACAUGUCUGACUGGGAAAGUUGAAACGUCCUUCUCUCCCAUCCGGAUGUGAGAUAUCCGGAGAAAGUGAAAUGUCGGUCGGACAGAAUUCUUUCCCCGGGUGGAAUGAGUUGUGUUGCGCGUCGCAAGGGGGACCGUCUGCGUGUACAAGUUGUAGGGACCCCUCUCCCGGAUGACACCGAGCGCGUAAGGCUAUCCGGAUCAACUCCAUUCGGAUUCCCCAAGAGGACAUGUGGCGUGCUCCCCUAUCAGGACUCCCUUAGGGAGAAGCACACGACACUCGUGAACAUCAUACCCGGACGAUAGCAUGUCCUAUCCGGAUGUGUUGUCCGGAUCAUUGACUAAAGUGAGCAAGCCUUGCUACGUCAUUCGGACAGCUUGCCACAUACCAUGUUCCGUCGCCAUCUGAUGGUGUGUCCGAACGCCUUGUCCGGACAUCUUUUGCUCCUUGCAUUCCGGAUUUGCUUAUGACAAAGGACUUCAAAGCUUCGGUUCUUCAUGUUUCUGAGCUUUCCAUUGCUUUGCCAUGGAUUCCAAAGAACUCUCCUUAAUCACGGAUUGCUUUGGUGAUCAAAAAGUUAUCAAAACACAAAAACUUAACAUAGUUUGAUUAGAAUUGAUUGCAAGGGUUCUUAAUAUGUUAAUUGGGUUAAAAGGUGAUAACUACUACUCAAAAGUGUUUAUAAGAAUUAAUUACAAGCUAUGAAAUAACACUUUUUGAGUAGUAAUCAGGAUACAUCCUAGUUUUUCAUGGAAUUGAUAGUGGGUUGUUGUGCAUGAAUGCCACCAUUUCAACUAUGCUGUUGUUAUUUUUAAAAAAAAUAUGGAUUAUGCGCGAGUGGCAAUUCUCCACUAUGGAAAGUGGAUUGCUCCUUCAACCCAUGCAUGGCUACGUAUUCCUAUGUCUUUCUACUUGUGUUUGAUCCUCCAAAAAAAAUUUCGGUUUAGUGCUAGUAGAUUUUAAGUGGUGGAUCCCCAUUUUUUGAAAAUGAAGUGGCAGCCUCCCAUUUCAAGACAAAAUGGUAGCCUGCCUUUAAUCUUUGGAGAAAAAUCUGUGCAUGACCUUUUUUUUUCCCAAAAAAUCCGUGCAUGGUGUCCUUUAAUAUUUGGAGAAAAAUCUAUGUUGGAUCUUUUCUUUUCUAGAAACAUUUGUGUGGUCUUUUUUGUUAGCCCAAGGGUUCUUCUAAUCAAGUUUUGAUGAUAACAAACCAUGGUUAAGUGACUAAUUGGUUUAAUGAUUAAGAAUCUCAAACAUAAAAUCGAAAAUUCAUCAAAGGACCAAAUGGAUACAAGAUCGAGACGCUUGGAAGACUUGUAAUCAUAGGAAACUAAUGUAAGAUGAAUGCAUGAGUGCACUUAGGAUUUUCACACGUUUCAUGCAACUUAGAAAACCCAGUUUAUUCUUUAAAACUUCAUCCCAGUUUAUUCUUUUUAUGGUUGUGUGUGCUUUCCUUGAUACGUGGCUUAUUUAUUAAGGAUACAUCCCAGUUUUUCAUGGAAUUGACAGUGGGUUGUUGUGUGUGAAUGCCACCAUUUCAACUGUGCUGUUGUUAUUUAAAAAAAAAAAAAAUGGAUUGUGCGCGAGUGGCAAUUCUCCACUAUGGAAAGUGGAUUGCUCCUUCAACCCAUGCAUGGCUACGUAUUCCUAUGUCUUUCUGCUUGUGUGUGAUCCUCCAAAAAAAAUUUUGGUUUAGUGCUAGUAGAUUUUAAGUGGUGGAUCCCCUUUUUUUGAAAACUAAGUGGCAGCCUCCCAUUUCAAAACGAAGUGGUAGCCUGCCUUUAGUCUUUGGAGAAAAAUCUGUGCAUGACUUUUUUUUUCCCAAAAAAUCCAUGCAUGGUGUCCUUUAAUAUUUGGAGAAAAAUCUAUGUGGGAUCUUUUAUUUUCUAGAAAAAUUUGUGUGGUCUUUUUUGUUAGCCCAAGGGUUCUCCUAAUCAGGUUUUGAUGAUAACAAAUCAUGGUUAAGUGACUAAUUGGUUUAAUGAUUAAGAAUCUCAAACAUAAACUCGAAAAUUCAUCAAAUGACCAAAUGGAUACAAGAUCGAGACGCUUGGAAGACUUGUGAUCAUAGGAAACUAAUGUAAGAUGAAUGCAUGAGUGCACUUAGGAUUUUCACACGUUUCAUGCAAUUUAGAAAACCCAGUUUAUUCUUUAAAACUUCAAUUUCAUUAAAACCCGAGUUUUUAACUAAUGUACCUUAGGCAAAAUGUUUUAUAAUUGGCUUAAUAAUUCACCUAAAUACAUUUUCUAAGUGUUAGAAAAGAAAGGAAUUAAAAAAAGGUUUUCGGGGCAAAAAAGGCUCAACCGGUCGAGGCUAUGGUCAACCGGCUCAACCGGUUGAGGAACCAAUCGAUCGGUUGUGCUUGUCCGAUCGAAGACCAAUCGAGGGAUGCCAAAAAAUUUCUCUCUCUCCUAGUGGCCUUCUCUUCCCGGUCGAGGUUCGGUCUAGGCAACGGUAACAUGUCAAGCAUUAAAUGCUCCGACGACUAGUGAAUCGGUCGACCCCUAGCCCGAUCGGACGAGGUUGCCUUUUGCUGUUUUUGACUCCCGAGCUUAGAAACCUAUAAAUUGAGAGCUCCACUUCAUUUAUUGAUAAAAGAGAACACUUGCAUUCAAUAGUCUACCUACCUUUUCUUGAUCAAAAAGCUCUCAUUUCCUUCAUAGUGCAUUAAAUCAUCACUUGCAUAUCCUUUAGUGCACUAUUGUGUGUCAUCCUAGCUUUGUUUUGUAUUUGAGCUAUCCUUAAGCUAGGUUGAGGGAUUAUUUCUUAUAAAAAUCUGAGUGUUAAAGCCUUCAAGAGAUUUGAAUCUUGAAGAGAUUGUGUAAGAGCCCAUUGGAGCCGGAGUCCAAGUGUAAGAAGAUUGGAAGCUUGGUUGAAGCUUCAAGUUAGUGGAACCCUCACUCGGUUAGGAGGUUGAGGAGAGUGGACGUAGGUAAGGAAGUGUCGAACCAUUAUAAACCCGAGUUUGAAUUCUCUAACUCUAUCUCUUUAUUUUGCUUAUAUUGUGUUUGAAUUUGUUGUGAUUGAAAAGAUUUUAAAAACCUAAUUCACCCUCCCCCCUUUUGGGUUUUUUUUUCUUAAUUAAGCAUAACCUUUGUUUUCUAAUUUUCUUUUUAGGAAAAUCCAUGCGUGGUAUGUCCAAACUCUCCAAGUGGCAGUCUGCCUUCUUCUAAAAAAUUUGUUUCUAUUUCUUUAUUCGACUACCUUCCAUGUCUUCCUAAUGAGUGCUUGUGCUCAAUGGUCAAUCCCUGGUGGUUGCCUCCUUUUCCCAUAUAUACGUGUUGCAAAAUCAACAUCCCACUAUAUGUGGGUUGCCUCUAUGGCAAGUUCACAUUUCCCACAUGAAACCUAUGAGUUUCCACCAAAAAUUGCCAUGAAAAAGUCUUUAUAUGCAUCUCAUGCAAUAAAAAGUCAAGCCAAUACUCAUCUUAUCUCGAAAAAUAAGUAACCAAAAUCAAGAUCAUGCCUAAGUGAACUAUGCCAAAAGAAGUGUCCAAGUGACCUAUUAUGAAAAAAGUGCCUAAGUGACCUAAGGUGAAUGUGUGUAAGCUGGAAGGUGUCUAGGAUGUUUAGGACAAUGCCUAAGCCUAAAAUAGGGUUGCCAAGGGUCACAAUGGGGUUAGAUAAAUCUCUCAAUCAGAGUCUCCAAGGUGGCUCAUAAAAGAUAAGCUACACGAGUAAUGAUGGGCCACCAGGGAAUUAUUGUAAAGCACCAAACGAACACAUAAUAGGACAUGUGUUAGAAUGAAAAAAUGGAGGGUUUACAAGUGGUCUCAUGGAUGAGCUUGAUAAUUUAAAUGACUCACAUAAUGAACGUAUGUGAUGUUUCUCUCCAAUAACAAGCAAAACAUCACUAGCAAUAUGAUGAAUGUCUCCUAAAUCACUUGAAGUAGUCCUAGCAAAUCAAUUAGAAAAAUCACACAUAUUGCUCUAAUGUAAUAUUAUAUACAUCUGUCAAUGAAUGGGAGAACUAAUGACACAACCAUCAUGUUGAUAUCUCGAACCCUCUAAUCUCAUAUGUAGGUGGGAUCACACUUAGAAACUCAUAACACAGUAAUGACCAAUCUAAGUCAAAAUGUGUUGGUGAUCGGAGGCCCAUGAAUAUGAAGUUCUAGGAUGAUAAUGACAUCUUAUAAAGUAAUGAUCAUCUCCUUAAUAGAUAGGUGAAAUGUGUGUGUCUUAGGACACCAUCUCUCAACAAGACUUGUGAUCAAUCCCCAGUCUAGUGUAACAUGCCUAUUAUGACAUCCAUCGUAAAAUCUAGACUAGAUAAUAUAAGGACAAAUGUGAGGGUUCAUCUCCCUUUCCCACAUAAAUUUAAAAAAUUAUUAUUGACAAGUUAAGACCAAACUAAGUUGCAAAAUAUAAAUAAGUCCAUUAGAUAACAAAUUUAUGUUUUCUCAUUUUCUCAUUUUUAAAGAGAUAUUAUGUGCUUCCAUGUACAUACAUGCUAAAGUCAAUUAUACGAGACUUAUAUCCAUCUUGUAGAACCAAAUCGAACCUAUCUAAUAGAUCCAGAUUAGAAGUAUGUCCUCUAUACUCCAUAUUUAUAACACAUUUAUAAAGAUAAAUGCUAAAAAAAUGUUAAAGAUAUAAAUUUAAUGAACCAUACUUUAUGAUUUUAAUUCUCAAUUAUUGUUCAUAUUUAUAAGAGAAAAGUUAAAAAAAUUGAUAGAGUUUUCCCUCUAUCAUGGACAUUAUCCCAAAUAAAAAUAAAUUGAUUAUGCAAAUUACAUUAAUAUUUGUAACCAAAUGAUCAAUAACUAUCUUGUAUCAAUUUAGUAAAUAAAUUUAAGUAUAUCUUUUCAUUUAUGACUAACAAAUAACUCAUACUUGUCCAAUAAAAGCCACACCUAAUUUCUAAAAUUUUGUCUUCACCUCAAGUGAGUGUUACAUUGAGAAAGAAAAAAUAUGAAAGAAAAAAUGAACACCUUUUUCUUUUAAUAAAAAAAGGCCAUAACGAAACAUUAAAUCUCACUGUUACACCUAUCUUCAAUGGAAACAUGAGGAUGUGAAUGGUGGCGGUGAUAUUCUUUGCUUGAAGCUCAUAAACAAAUAUUCCUUACUAAGCCUAUGCCAUUUAGUAUUUCAAUAGUGGACCCCCCCCCCCCCCCCCCCCCCCUCCUUGCAUUUCAGAUUUAGCAAACUUAGAACCAAAUAACAAAGUGCAUUUGAACCCAUAAAGAAGUAAUGAGACUCUCCUAUAUUGGCAAUAGAAGAAAUUUUUGGAGGUAUAGGAGAUUCACGGAUGAAGAAGUUGGGCCCCAAUUGAGAUAAGACCCAAGAAAAGAUGGGGUAGAGAGGGAUGGUUGGAAAUUGUAAAGUAAGAUUUUCAAAAUGUAGUUGAUGACUAAGAUUUUGACAAUUUAAAAAAGGUUUAAAAAUGUAGUUAGCAAUCGGGGUUUUGUAACAUUUAAAAAAUAAAAUAAAAUCUCAGGCCACAUGGUAGCCCAUGUGAUUCAGAAGCUUGAGAAUUAUUUUAUAAGAAGACUUAAUUUGUGAUUUUUUUAUAACUAUAUUAUUUUUUUUCUUAACACACGAAAAAAAUUAUGAAAUAAGACAAUUUUCCUAAGAAAGCAUGUAAGUGACUCUUGGUUAUUUUAUUUAACUUCUUCUAGUUUGGAGAGGAUUAAUACCUUUGCUUUUACUCACUUGCUUGGAUAUGUACACGUUGUUCAUGUCACUUUUCAUUUAAUUUUCUGAUUAAGGGAAUUGGAACCGUACGUAACUGUCUUUAUUCCCUCUGAAACUUGGACUUGGAGUUGGACUUUCAAUCUCAUCAGUCGUGUUUCCAUAAAAAAGAAGAUGGAUUAACCAAUUUUCCUAUGCCUACUAAUCAUACACAAAACUCCACUUCCAAAUAAAAAGGAAUGGGAUAUCACUUGUUAAUAGUGGCUAAAGACUAUUAAUAACCAUGCAAAGAAAUGUCACAUUUUUUGUUCUACGCAAAUUUUAUUCAUCAACUACUAGAACCAUUUCAUACAAUAGUAGCUUUUCGAUCCUUUGAUAAAUGGACACUUGAUGUGAUAACACCAACUACACCUAUAUAUUCAAGCAAUCAUGCGUAUAUAAUAGUGGAUAUGGAUUACUUCUCUAAAUGGGCAAAAGUUUUGUCAUUCAAGGAAAGUGAACGAGGAAACACAAGUUUACUUUCAUCGGAACUAAUAUUAUAUAUUGAUAUGACUUCCCAUUAUUACUUACGAUGGAAUAUGCUUCCAUAAAAUGGCCUAGAUGAACAAACUAUCCAAGAAGUUUGGGAUCAAAUAAUAUAUAUAUAGUUCAUGUGUGAUUCUUUGGUUGACAACCUUGUUAAGGGGUGAGUGAAGCACUUUGGGCAUACCACAUACUACAUGCUAGACUUCCACCCAAGCUACCCUAUAUUCCUUAUGAACAAAGUAGAAGUUGUCAUCUCUCUUGAAUACCAAAUCCUUUCACCUAAUAAUGCUAUCUAAAAAGGUCUUAAAAAGGAUAAAAAUGCGCAUAUUUGAAUUUUUGAAUUAGGAGUGCUACUUAAAAAGAAGCUAGAUAUACAAUAAUAGAAUGUUAUCAAGCAUAUCUCUUCAAAGUUUUUGACCAAAAAAUAUAUGAUUUCUCAUUUUAGGUAGGAGACUUAGUACUCACUAUUCAAAAACCAAUUAUCAUUACUCAUAAAAACUAAUAGAAAGUUUGGGCCAAAGUAGGAUGGACCUUAUAUUAUGCAACAAUUAUGCCUAUAAAAUUGUUGCAAAAGAGGUUUUAGAAUCAAAUCAAUGAAUGAAAAAUUAUUAAAGCAUUACUAUGCUUGAAGGCUAGUCAUUUUCCCUUAAAGUGCAAUAUUAAGUUGCAUAGUACUAUGUGGAUCCGCAUUUUUCACAUGCGUUCCCACUCAUUGUCGAGACUCACUUUUUAGAAGUGAAAAAUUAGUUUUAUUAAAGUCGAAGUUGCCACUGGGGAUUUGAACCCUAACAAAAGGUUCAAUUUAAGGAUAAAAAUAUCGAUAAUCACAUAUAUAUAUAUUGGUACUUUGAUUUUAUGAAUAUAUUGAAGAAAUAUGGACAAAUAUUUUGACACAAAAUAUGUACAAAAUAAAAAUUAUAUAAAAAGUAAAAAUAAAUAUUUUAAAAUUAUUUUUUUAAAUAUAUAUAUAUAUAAUUUGACAUAUUUGAUAAUAAUAUAUAAGGGUCUCCAAAAAGCCCGUGGCCCGCUUUAGGCCCGGUCCGACCCGACAGGCUAAAGCCCGGCCCAAGCCCGCCGGGCCCAAGCUCGGCCCGAGCCCGUUUAUGGGUGGGCCGGGCCGCGAGCCCGUAGGCCUGCUCCUUUAAAAAAAAACUACAAAAAUAAAAAGUAUUAAAAAAAAUAUUCAUUUCAAAAUUUUAUUCAUUGAAUGUAUAAUUACAUUUGAAAAUGUGGGAAAAGUUUACAUCACUACAAAAUAAAUACAUCCCAACUAGGUUGGCACCUAUUUAUUUGUCAAUCAUCUGUAUUUUUCAACCACAAAAAAUAAAAAUAAAAAUAUAAUAUACAUUUAGUCAUUAUUUUCUGGCGGUGAUGGCGAACUAUCAUGCAUCCAUGAAGAUCUUGAUAAUUUUAAAGAUUCCAUAUCGGUAAGCAUCUUUGUUUCUCGAAUGGAAUCAUACAUCCUUUUAUCUGCUAUUUCCCAAUCUUUCACACAUAUCCCUGCUUUAAUAACAUCUGACGCUAAGUUGCAUCGUUUUUUACUAACUACUCUUCCACCUGCACUAAAAGCAGCUUCUGAUGCAACUGUACUCACAGGAACUGUUAGUACAUCACGAGCAAUUAUAGAAAGCACAGGAUAUUUGUGUUGAUGUGAUUUCCACCAUAUUAAAAUAUUAAAAUCUUCUUGAUCUUCAAAUGAAAUUAUAUCAGUAUUAAGAUAUUUAUCUAAAUCAGAUGUAUUAUUUGGAGAAUUAUUUGUUGUCUUUUUUCGACUUUUCAACAUUUCUAGAGCUCCUUUAUAAAAAGAUGAGGAGUUUGUAGAUGUAGGUGGUAAUUUAAUAGUAUUAAUAUCAUUACCAUAUUUUUCUUUAUAAUAGUUAUAUAAAUUAUAUAAUAAUGAAUUUAUUUCAUUUUUAAUUUCUUCAAUUUUUAUUUGGUCAUUAAAAUAAAUAAUUGUUAACCAUUCAUCCAAAGCUUCAAAUUUCAAUCUAGGGUCCACAAUUAAAGCAAUAUAAAAAAUUAAAGGUAUUUCUCCCCAAUAUUUUCUAAAUUUUUAUAUCAUUACAAAUAUUGUAUCAUUAAAUAUUUCAAAACUUAAAUAUUUUUGAAGUACAAUAAAAAUAUUAGUUAUUUGCGUAAUAACUCGAUUUGAAGUUGGAUAAUAUACACCACAAAAAAUGUUUGUUGAAGUAUCAAAAAUUUCAAAAAGAUCUCUUAAAACAUCCGCAAUAUGCCAAUCAUAAUCAUUUAAUGCAUAAAUAUCUGCUUCAUAAUCAUUGUUAAUUAAUUGUAUUUCAUAUAAUUCGACUACUUUUCUAUAUUUUGUAAUAUUUUCUAAAAGUUUAUAUGUGGAAUUCCAUCUAAUAGCCAUAUCCAAAUUUAUAUUUUUUCUUUUCAUAUUUAACAUUUUGCAACAAUCAAAAAAUAAUUCAUGUUUUGCUUGAAAACUAUUAAUACUAUAUGCAAUGCCUCUAAUUUUUUUCCAAUGUACUAUCAACAUUUUUUAAUCCAUCCUUUACAAUUAAAUUUAAAAUAUGUGCACAACAACGCACAUGAAAUAUUUUAGCAUGAUCUUCUUUUACUUGCCAAUAUCGUUUUAGUCUAUGUAUUGCUGCAUCAUUAUUAGCAGCAUUAUCUAAUGUUAUUGUCAAUAUUUUAUCACGAAUGCCUAAAUCUAUAAUUUCAUCAUUUAUUAAAGAUGCUAUAUUUUUACCACUAUGUGGAGUAUUUAUUAAUUUAAAUAAAAUUAUUCUUUUAUUUAAUUUCCAUUCAUUAUCAAUGUAGUGAACAAUUAUAUAUAAAAAACCAGUAUGAGUUAAAGAUGUCCAAAUGUCAGAUGUUAAACGAAUAUUUCCUUCAAAAUUUGCAAAAUUUUUUUUUAAAAUUUCUUUUUGUGUAUAAAUUUUUUUCAUAAUAUCUCUUUUAACUGUAUUUCCAGAUCAACCUUUAAAUUGAGGAUUAAUACCUCGUUGAAUUGUUCUUGCAAAAUCAUGAGUUUCCAUCAUGUUGAAAGGUUGUUCUGCUCUUAUUAUAUAAUCAAUCAUUUCUUCACAACAGUUAGAUUCAUCAUAAGAAAAUGUUUUUAAAUUUCCACUUUCAUUUUUACUUAAUUGCAUAUAAUUUCUAAUAUCUACAUUAUUUUUAGUUUUACAAUUUUCAUGAUGUCUUUUUAAAUGACUUGUAUCUGCAUUUGAGCCACCAGUAAGAAAUUUAUUACAAAUUUUACAUUUUGCUUUUAUUUUUUUUUUAUUAUUUUCUAAAAUUAUUUCUAUUCUAUCAAAAAAAUUCCAUAUAUUUAAAGUAAAUUUUUUGUUUGAUGAUAUUUCAUCACAUGGACUAGACGAAGAAGCACUUGUCAUAUUAUAAUUAUUGAUAAAAUAUUAUGCCAAAAAUAAUAAAGUAAUAAAUAUAAAAAAAAAUGUAACAAAAAAAAUAAAGUAGUAGGGGUGAAGUAUGUUACUCAAUUAGAGAACCUAUGCAGAAAUUCCUAGCAAAUUUGAACUCUUGGAGCCACCAAUGCUUGUUUUGCACCAUCAACAAUAUUGUAUAAUUUGAGGGAAAAAUAAAAGAAUUUAAAAUAUUGUAGAAUGUGAGAGAAAUAGAGAGAAUUUGAUGAAAAAAUGAAAAGGAAGAAAAUGUAUUUAUAGGAAGGUUAAAAAUAAUAAUAAUAAUAAUAAUAAUAAUAAUAAUAAUAAUAAUAAUAAUAAUAAUAAUAAUAAUUGGCCAUGUGACCGUUGGAGGCUUAGCUCCAACGGUCACAUGGGCUGGAGCUAGGCUCCAACAGUCACAUGACCGUUGGAGCCUUUAAUUUUUUUUUUUAAAAUAAUAUACUUUAUUUUUAUAUAUAUAUAACUAACUCAAUUAAUAAACAUAAAAAGAAUAUAGUUCAGUUGGUUAGAACCUUGAAGUUUAAACAUGAGGGGAGGGGUUUGAAUCCCUCCCUCUCCCUUAGGGGCUUUUUUAAAAGCCAUUUUGGCUUAUUUCAAAAAGCCUGUCGGCCCGACCCGCCCUGCAGCCCGCGGGCCUAGCAUUUUAGCAUGGCCUGGUCUGUUGACUAGUCAAAUGGCUCAUAGGCUCGGCCCGAACUGGGCCGCGGGCCUCUUAUUUACGGACCGGCCCGACCCGGCCCGCCCGUUGGAGACCCUUGAUAAUAUCUUCUAUAUUAAGUUACAUUAUAGUUUAUUUUACAAUAUUAUUAUGAUAAUAUGUCUAAUUUUAAAAUAUAUUUAAUAUUAAAAUUAUGAUCUAUUUUAAUUUAAAUGUAUUCAAUGAUAUCAAAUAAAUAAUAAUAUAUGUAUAAUUCUUUUAUUAUUUAUAUUUAUUAUUUUUAAUAAAUAUAUAGAUUAUAUAAAAAAGACCGGAUAUAUCUUUUCAAAUUUUGUAUCGCUCUCCAAGGAUAUUAGAUGUAUGGGAAUUUGUAUUGCUAUCUACGGAUACGUUGAUAUAUGGGUGAUUUAUCAGGAUAAUUAGAAAUUCUAAUUAUGUAAGCAGGUACGGAGUUCUGUGUCGGUGCGAUCUUGUCGACAACAGCUCCAAAUUGUGCAUCUUGCUCAUAGAGAGUAGCGGAAUGCACCAAUCGUAGGCUCAGAGUACCACUGAGUCGUCUGGCAGAGACCCAACUGAAGGUGCCUGUGUUGUUCCUGAUCUGAUCAGGCUUCAAACUACAAGGUGGAAUACUGGUUCCCCUAUAUCAGAAGCUGGAGAUACCCACCCCAUAUGCUCGUCUGGAUGUGCUCCUACCCUUUGAAGCCUUCUUCCGAGUCAAGUCCGAAUUGAUAAGGCUAGUGAGUUCCCAACCAACUGUACUCAGCAUGCUGCCAGGUGGAGACCCUCCAUAUUUGAUGGCUUCCUAAUAUUAAAAUGCUGACCACUGGUCUUCAUGUUCCACAGGCUUAAUUGUGUCCUUUGCUGAAAGAAUGGAUAGUGAUCCAUUUUAACACAUGAUUCACGCCGUCUUUGCCAUUCUUCAUGGUCUAGCCCUUUUAUAUAUAUGCUUCCUGAACUGUUGCUAUUAAUAAAAUGUGGUAUCUAUCCCGUACACCUUCCUGAUGGCCAGCGAAUGCAGAAGCUACAGAAACGGUUCCAUCUUUUGCUUCCGCCACUUUGGCAUCCUCCAUGAUGAGAUCGAAGGUGAAUAAUCAUAUUCUGGGGAUUUAUGUCCUGGAUAUUCUCAGUAAUGCCCAAUUUCCUGGUGCCGGCCUCAUUUCCAUGGGAACUGAUGGAUAACUUAAGGCUUCUACCAUCUGCGUGGUUCGCUUCUAACACAGGAAACUUCACGGCUAAAAGCAAGAUACCAAGAACAUCAAGGCUGUGACAAAAAUUAGUAUUUUUAACUUGUAGGAAUUUGAAAGGCAACCAACCAUCUAGCUCUGUUCUUAAAGCUCCCAUAGGAGGAUCAGAGGCUGGAUUGCUCAAGAUGAACUCAUCCAUUGUUGCACUUAAAAAGAAUUGGCAUGAAUUGUGGCCGCUCUAAUAGGUUCCCUAAACCAUCAUCCAAGUGGGCUUGCGGAAGGUAGCGAGUUUAAAACACCUAGGGCGAUGAACAGUGGACUGUGAUGCUCACAAAAGAGAAAAGGAAGAAUUCAAUAAUUCCUAAGAAUCCAUUUGCCUGUCAUCCAAAUUUUUAUAUUCUCUUCAGUCUGACGCGUUAUGCCAUAUAUUAAAAAUAGCGGCUUCUUCCAAGCCGAGACAGACUGUGCAAAGUUCGCAAGGCCAAUCAUCACCAUAAUCUGAAGUUGGCCUCCUCAAUCGCAGCUUGUAUCCGAAUGCUCACUUCACGGGAUGGAUUGUAAUGAAAACUAAUCUCAGUCCCAGCUAUGGCAGCAUCCUCACUUGACAGCAUUUUCUGCAUAUUCUAGAACAAAGCAAUAAACCCUCAAAGGCUCCUUCGGAUCAGAGUUAGAAGACUGUCCCUCAGGAACGUGAACACUAUGGUGGUUCUGAUAAGCAGUGAUAUUGCAUUAGAGCCUUUUGGAACAAGAGGAUCUUUUCAGGUGGAAACUGUAAACUGCUUCAUGUUGGGCUGCAACCUUUUCUUCAAGCAAUACUUUCUUUCUGUAUCACGACUUAUGUUGCUUCCGGAGCCAUCCCGUGUGGACUGCCCUUCAGUGAAAGAAUAUGUGUGUUGACAUGUUGGAUUGUAAUCUUUGUUCCACUCUAAUGGCUUUUGGUCCUCCUCUUUCUCUUUAUGACAGAGAACCAUUUAGUGAUCCAUCUCUAUAUUGUAGCAUUGCUGGUGCUUUGCAAUACUACACUCUCACCAAGCAUAACAUCUAUUUUUCCGUGACCAAAGUAUGUCGGUUUAUGCAUGCGCAAACUCUUAUUCAUUGGCAAGUUGUCAAGCGUAUCUCAUGAUUUCCCAAAGCCACAAGUUCUUAUGGUCUUUCUGUUCAAGCUUACAAUGAUCUAUCUUUUCUUGGUUAUACUGAUGUCGAUUGGGCUAGUUGCCCUGAUAACAAGCACAAUACUAGUGGGUACAACACUUUUCCUGGUCCUAAUCUCAUUUCAUGGGCAUUUUCAAAGCAGAAGGUUGUGUCUCACUCCAAUAACGAAUCUGAAUAUAGGGGACUCACUAAUUAAUGUUGUUGCCAAGGUCACUUGGAUUGAAUCUGUCUUACGUGAGUUGCGUGUUUCUCUACCCCAACCACCAAUUUUGUUGUGUGACAACAUUAGUGCUACACACUUGGACAAACCAUGUUGAAAUACACUAUCAUUUUAUCCAUGAAAGGCUUAUGCAUCACACACUCAAAAUUCAAUACACCUCUUCUAUAGACCAACUAGUCAAUGCUAUGACCAAAGCUCUUCCUUCAUCUCACUUGUACAAUCUUCAGUGCAAGCUGAUUGUUCUUCCCAAACCACUCAACUUGAGGGGAGAUGUUAAGCCAAUUUAAUAAAUUGAUUUCUUUUGGUUAAUUUGUUAGAAUCAUUUUUAUUAGAGGUUUGUUUGUACAAUUACAUCCAUUUAUCAGGAGAGUACACGUGUACAACUCCUCUUUUAAUCUCACCAUUGUAUAUAUAUGAUACACGACCUUACUCAGAAUUGCAUAACAUUUCCUCUGCUCAUUCCUUUUCUUCUUUGAAUUUUCCCUUACCUCACUGAUUUUGAUUUAUACCUGGUGUUUUCACCUUUGGUCUCUACCUUUCUAGCCAGUUUUCUAAUUAAUCCGUAUAUGGUAUACCUGUCAACUAAUGAGGAGAAAGAGAAAAGGGGAUUGCUGUUCCACCAGCUACAUAUAAUAAUUAAUUACAAUCAUGGUAAUGGAUCCUGAAAUCCAUCCUUUGUGGAUUUUGUACGGAAUAUUGUUGUUAUGUAUGUGGGCUCACUUAGAUGUAUAUUGCUAGCCUGUCUGGGAAAUGUGAUUGCAGGUCCAGAUUAUGAUGUUGAUAUUAGUGGGAUAAGCAAGAGAUGCAGUUAACACGUAUGUGAUGGACUUGAGUAACUUUUCCAUUUCAGUCCAUUUUUUAAGAUUAUGCUUAGUCUUAUUACAAGGAAAGACCAUAAGAAUCAUGAGUCAUUGGCAAGGUAAUAUCAUUCCCUCUUUACAGGCUUCUUCACCUUUUGGUUUUUUUAAUAUCCAUCAAGAUCUUUUAAUUGGAGGACAAUUACAAGUAUAUAUAUAUGUAUUAAAAGGGGAAAAUAUUAAAACAGGAAAUUUUAGGGAAAAUAUAAUAAUUAUUUCUUCCUUCUUUCCCAUAUAGAACUACACAAAAUAAAACUUUAAUAAUUUUUUCUUAUCUUUUUUAUUAUUAUUUUUUCUUAGAAACAUCCGUGGUCUCACAAGCUUGUAAUCCUAGAUUGUUAGGCUCCUUUAACAGUGCCCCAACAUCGUGGUCCAAUGACAAGCUUCCACGCCUUAAAAUCAGAAAAUGCCAUUAAACUUUAUCAGACAUUACAGUUCAAGACAAAGCUUUCAUUUGCUUAAUGUGAUAAUGAAAUUGUUAAUUUCAUUUCGUGGGCAUCUAAAUUUGGACGAGCAAGACCUCUGAAUUCCCUGUUUUUAUCACCAGCAGAGGAGAUAAAAUCUUAAUGGUGAGAAUCUCCACGUGAAAUUUAUGUGUACUGUCAACAUAUUUUUGUUUAUAUAGUCCAGUAGCUGCAGGAAGUCUAGAUUAUAUAGGUAGCAGUAGCACUAUUUAUAGCACUCGAUAUUCGCUGUAUGAAUACAUUAAACCUUGUUUUCAAUACGCAUCACAAGCAAGUACUAGAUACUACAAGGAGUGACAGUCGCAUCAACAUUUCUUGAUAAUAGCAGUGACUGAUUUAUACACAGAACAGUACUGUACACGUACCAGUCACCAGAGAUAGGAUCUUAUUCCUACAUACGACUCUUAUUGAUCGAAGUCACUCAGUUGGGGUAGCCUGGAGUUGGAGGUUUGUGUGGUGGCUUCUUCUUUGGAGGAGGCUUUAUCUUUGGAGGCAUCAUCUUUGGAGGCAUCUUGUGUGAGUCUUCUUCAGCAUUCUCUACAGGAGGAUGGCCAGGCUUAUGACCCUUAGGUGGUUUGCCAACUGGGAUUGGUGGCUUGUGUCCUGAGAGUGGCUCCUCUUCUUCGGGAGGUUUGCCAACUGACGUUGGUGGCCCGUGUCCUGGGGGUGGCUUGUGUUUUGGGGGUGGUUUCACUCCACCGGGAGGUUUACCAAUUGGUGUUGGUGGUUUGUGCUCAAUCGGUGGCCUCUCAACUGGGGGGCGCUUGGGGUAAUCAGCGAGUGAAGAAGUGGUGAGAACCACCACUCCAAGCAACAACACUAGCAAGUAUGUGGAAGACAUCUUUGAGUUUGGCUCAGAUGGUGUAGAACUAGAAUCCUGGGUGGCCUUUUAUAUUAGUUGGGCCCUAUGCCCGAACGACAAGUGUCAUGGUGACACAUAAAGUGAUGGGGUCGAUUUGGGCCUACCGGAUUUGAAAACUUGGACAAUUCGAGAAGCGUCUCCUGACUCCGGGUUGUAAAGUGAAAGAUUAGGUAUCGACCAUUGAAGUAUGAUCACAACUUUUGGCCUUUGGCUCUCUCUACUGCCGUAUAGCUUUUUUCCUUUGGAUAUUUUUCUUAGCUAGACACAAUUAUUGAGCAGUCUAAUCUCGAAAUGGGAUUAGUAUAGCUUUAAGCAAAUUUAUUAUAGUUAGUGGAGGACUUUUAAGAGUGCAGACGACAUUUAACACAUGCAUGCAGUAGUAUAGGGGACAUAACACUAUUCUUUUUCCAAAGAUUCACAUGAUUUUUAUAUUAUAGUAUUGGCACAUUGUAUGUAGCUGGUUUUGUGGUUAAAAUUCCAUAUGUAGACACUGGCGUUUCUCCAUUUCUCACAAUUGAUGUUUACCUCCACGAUUACUAGAUUAGAUAUACCAAACAAUAACACAUUGUAUAAUCUAUCCGCCCUUCAAAAUCUACUGUAUGAUGAAAUGUUUCAUGUGUGUGUGAAGUGUUAGAAAUGCACUAUAGGCAACAUCAUCUUCUUUUGUCUAGGCUUGGGCCUCAAAUUAUACUCCCAUGCCAUGAUAAAUUUUCAUGUGCAUUCUCUAAAGAAGAGUGUCUUGAAUGUGCCAAAUCAUUUUGAUUGAUUUUAUGAUGUUAAUUGCUCCGCAUAUGGAUGGGUAUGUGCUUUAUUUGCUUAUUCAAUCCACAAUUACCUUGAACUGAAGUCCUAUUGGAGCUCUAUUAUUUUAGCAACGUCCUGUCAAAUAGGCUGCUAACUUGGGGUGGUAUGGACCCAAUGAUCCAUCUUAAUCUUGGGUUGAUUUUGUCUGACUCUAUCUAUCUCAGAGAGAACCAGGAUCACCAGUGCUGGUCUGCUUAAAGAAGACUCAGUACUGGAUUAAUAUUGGUUUGGGUCAAUAGCUUAUAAUGCAUUGAAUGCAGAAUAAACAAGAUCAAUGAAACCCAAAACACACUGCCCACACAACUUCACUCUGGUGUCUGUUAUUCAUCAAUUCUAUUCCCACAUGAACUGGUUCAAGUUUAAGAAAAUGACAACGGAUCCACUGUAUUAACUUGGUUUUGCUUGGUUUUGAGCUAGUUGCCAAACCAGCCAUGAGUUUUACCUCUAAUGUCAAUGAACAAACCCCAAAUGAACAACUGCAACAGCUUAAAGAGAAGGAAUGGAGAUGAAAAUCCCUGUUUCUUCUCAUUCUGGGGACAAAUUAGAACAUAACUACAAAGGUUCUAUUAAUUGACUUACUCUACCAUGAAUUAUGGUUCUUUGGUUUUCCAAAUUUAAAUUGUACAUGAGAUUAUUUUUUUCCUUUAUAUAUAAACAUAUUAAGGUUUUCUUAUUUCGUGGGCAAAUGCGCUAAGGAUGAAAGUCAUUUCAUUUGGCUGCAACAGCAUCUUAUAAUCAACAUGCAUAAGCAGCAGUUUUAAUUGAUCGAUUGAACACCGACUCACAAGAAUAGAUAGAAUGGUACAAGACAGCUCUUAUUAAUUUAUACUCGUUACUCAUUUUAUGUAGCCCCAUUAAGAUGGCUGGCUGGACCACCGAGGUCUGGGGGUGGUGUUGCUUGUGUGAUGCAGCGGGCCGGGCAGACACUUCUCUAGUUGCUUCUAUUUGGAGUUAGAGGAUCAGUCUCUGCCAACCUUGAGGACUCUCUACCUCAGAGGGUCCAGGUGGUGGACUCUGGUGUCGGUAGCUUUGAACUCUCAGUAGACUAGUGUGUCUUAAUCAGUCACUGCCAGAGGCUGGCGUAGGCAGUGACGAUAAGGUGAGACAAAUUACCGAAUAGUCAAUAUCGACUGCACUUGACCAUUAUAGAUUUGUUCUGACAAAAGUGAGAAAAGGGAGAAAAUCGGAUGUUGACCUUUAUAGAAAAAGAUAAGAUUUACUGCAACACAGAGCACUGAUUUGUUACUUGGAAACCAAGUUAUGCUAUUAGCUAGCCUCCAUUAGCAGCAGGGUACCUUGCUGCCUGAUCCUAAUCUGAGUUCCCAAGGUUUCAAUCUUCGUUUGUUAACGCUUCAGGAUUUGGAUAUUUCAGCUUCGUUUCUCCAUUUAGCCAACGCUGCCUGGUUUGGAUUUCAAUCCUCAUCUGGAACAUUCUUUUUUCGGUCUGAUUCAGGAAGUGUUUGGUGAUAGUUGAUUAAAAUUAAACAGUACUAUCAUACAAAUAAAGCUGAUCUAAUUUUGGUGGGCAAUAUACCAACUCAUUUAUUCUUGAAAACACCAUGGGGAAUUGGAGGUCCAUCCGAAGUACUAUUUGAUGGGACUCACAAAAAGAACAGGUGCACAUUUAUGAGAUCCGUGGAAGAGAUAACUAUGACAGCUAUGCAUGUACAACAGAUUUAUGUCGAGUUCACCUCGUAGAUAUUUUGUUUUCAGUGUCGGUGGACCCCAAAAUGGAAAUCGGAAAUUAAGGUUAUAUUUAUUUUUUUAUUUAAUUUUAAAUAGAAUUUUAAUUUUUAAUAAUAUUAAGUAUUAAAUUAUUUUUUUAAGGGUAUUUUAUUUUUAUUAAGUAUUAAAAAGUAAAAAAAAUUAAUAUGUUGCUUUUUUAUUUUAAAAAAAUUAUAUAUUUUAAUUUUUUCUAUUUACUAAAAAGUUUAUAAUAAAUUAUAAAAAAAUAAAAAAAUAAAAAACUUAAAUUCUGAAAAUAAAUUAUUUUUAAUAAAAAAAUCCAAAAAAGCAAACACCACCUAAAUUUGAGAUGACUCAAAAUUUUAUAUUUUUUUUCACCUAAAUUAUAUUCAUAAAUUUAAAAUUAAAAAAUUAGGAAGUUGAAUUUUAUUUUGGAUAAUUGGAAACUACAAGAAAUCAAUAAAAAUAUUUGGAAAAAAAAGAAAAAGAAAAACUAUCUAUAUAUUCACCCCCUUCUAAGAAACAUAACUUUAGUUUUUAACUAUUUUUUAAAAUAAUUUUUGAAAAAUGUUAUAUAAUAUUUUAUAAAACAAAAAAUCUGUUUGACAAUUUGAUAUGUCUUUAACUUAUUUUUAAUAUUUAUAUAUAUAUAUUUUAAAAAUAAUUUUAUAUUUAGAACUUUAUCUUUAAUUAUUAUAUAUAUUUAUAUAAUUAUUUUUUUUAAAACAACUCUUAAAAAAUAAGUGAAAGUAAUUGAAAACAACUCAAAGAUAUUUGAUGAAAACACUCUAAUUUGUAUUUUUGAGAAUAAAAAAAUAAAUAAAUAAAUUUCUAGUUAUCAAAUGUAUUUUUUAAUUCUUUUAUUCUAAAAAAUAGAAAAUCGUUUUUGAAAAUAAUUAUUAAACAACAUUCUUAAAAAUUCACUCGUUACAAUCUAGAUUUAAUGCAAGAAUGAUUGAAGGAGUCCUCCAAUAGAACCCAAAGUUAUAAACAUGAACAAGAAGCCCUAGAAACACCAAAGAUCUCAUAUGGUAUAUAUAUGAGCUUGAUUGAGAACUGUUUUAAAUUCAGUUUUUUUUUUUUUUUUUUUUUUUUGUUUUCAAAGUCAAAACAAGUUUACUUUUAAUUUUUACUUCUUUUUUUUAAUUUUAUAAAUAACAGUUUUUUAAUAAUUUAUUUUGAAAACAUGAUUAUUUUUAAAACUUAUAAUGAAAAUAGGAAUUUUUUUUUUAAUAUCAUGGUUAUUUUCCCUUCUUUUAAGGAGGGCUAUUUUAAAAAUAAAUUUACAAAUAUGAAAAAUGAUUCAAACUAAAGCAGUACAAAUAAAAAACAUUUUUAAGAAAUAUUUAAAAAUAGAGAAAAUUAUUUGAGAACAUUUGAAGUCCUUAAAUAGACUUUUGUUUUAGAAAAGGCAAGAUAAUUAUUUUUGAAAAUUGUUUUCAUAAUGAUAUGCAAAAACCUACGUAAAAACCAUAAUUAUAAUCGGCCACAUAUCAAAUCUACUAAAUAUGAAAAGUAAGUACAUAAUUAUAUUUGACUUAGAUGCAAGGAGGAAAAUGUCGCGAUAUUAUCGCCGAAAUAUCGUGUGUCGAAGGGUAUCGACACGAUUUUUCUUGCAGAAAUAUCGGCCAGUCGAUUUUUCGGGAUAAAUCUCGAGAAAUCGGCAAUUUAUCGCGAUAUAUCGGCGAUUUUUCCUCGAUAUAUCUUCUGGUCAACGCGGGUCAACGGAGUCAACACGCUACAGUGAAAGUCAAAUGUGCUACAAUGUCCCCGCUACAAUCACCUCCCCAAACAAAUUGCCAAAUUGCUUCCGAGGGGAUUUGAACCAGCCUUCUUGCCAUUUGGGCUAACUCGCCCUUAUGAUAUAUAUUGCAUUAAACAUAUAUAUACUUAAAGUCCUUAUAUAAAGAAAAUGUUAAAAAAAUAUUUUAAAGAGCAAAUUAAUUAUAAUUAUUUUAUAAUUAAAAGCAAAAUUUUCUUUUAAUUAAUUACCAAAAAUAUAAAAAUUAUAUAAUUUUCUUCAUAAUGUUUUUAAUAUCAUUAAUAAUUAAUUAAAUAUUAAAAAAUUAUAUAUAUAUAUAUAUAUAUAUAUAUAUAUAUUAUAAUUUAUUUUAUAUUGUUUAAUACAAUUGAAUUAAAUGGAUCAUAUUUUAAUAUUAAUAUAUAUUUUAAAAUUAGACAUAUUGUAAUCAAAUAUCAUAAUAUUAUAUGUAAUUUAAUAAUAAAUGUACACUUAUAAAAUUCAUAUUUUUAUCGAUGCAUACAAUAUUAUUAUCAAAUAUGAUAAAUCAUGUUAUACAUAUAUCAAAAUUUUCAAUAAAAUAACUUUAAAAUGUCUAUUAUACUUCUAAUUAUAUUAUUAUGAGGUUUUCUUUACAUUUUCAUGAGUUUUAAACAAUUUUAAGCACCAAUAUUUUUUUCCAAAAUAUCCACCGAUAUAUCUCCGAUAUAUCCAAUAUAUCUCCGAUAUCUCCGAUAUAUCCGUAAAAUCGAAGUACCGAUAUAUCCGUGAUUACCGAUAUUUUCAUCAUUGCUUAGAUGCAACCUUCUUCCAAAUGACAUACUUUAGUCAAUACUUAUAUUUUUUCGUUUCACUUCUUUGAUACAACACCUCAUGGAUUUAUUGUUUAAUUUAUUUGUAAUUAUAAAACUAUUUUUCAUUUUUAAUAAGACUUGAAUUAAUUUAAUAAAUAUUAUAUAAUUUGAAUUUAUAAUUCUUUUUAUAAAAUCAAAGUAUAUUAAAAAAAAAACAAUUUAUCCGAAGAAAGUUUUUUAUUUUUUAUUUUUUAAAACCGAUUUUAAAAAUAACUAGCUAGACACCCUUAUUUUGAUAAAAUACGAAAUAAAAGUGUAAAAACAACAUGGCCAAAUAGGGGCUUAAAUUUUAUUUUUAAAACAUUUUUUUACACUAAAGUGCAUUUUAAAAACACCAUCAAAACCAACUACAAGUUAUGCUUCUUCCCGUAAUAGAAAUAUUUUAGGCCAAAAUAGAACCUCCCCAAAUAAAGACCCUAUACUAAACUCCUUUUCAUUUUAUUAAUACAAAAGUGGGGAAAAAAGGUCUAUGCUCACCUAAAAAACAUGAAUAUUGUGAAUUCACCAUUUCUAUAAGGAAGUUGAAAACUUCAAAAUUUUAUCAACAAAUUCUCUAAAAUCCUCAAAAUAUAUAGGGCCUGUUUCACAAAGUUUUUUAAAAUUUGUUUUUAUAAAUUGCUUUUAAAAUAUAGAAUAAAUAACAGUUUUUUAGAUUUUUUGAAAAAUAAGAGUGUUUGGUAAGAUGUUUUUUUUUUUUUUUUUUUUUUUAAGAAUUAAAUAAAAAAUAAAAAAAUUGUUUAGAUAAAAGAAUUUGUAUUGUUUUUAAAAACAAUGUCUUACUUUUAUGUUAUAAAAAUUUUAUUAAUUUAAUUUAUAAUAAUAUGAAAUGAAAUUCAAGUUAAGUCUUAUUAAAAAAUACAAAUUAAAUCUAUAAUUAUGCAUGAGUUAAAGAUAAAUAUAUAUUUUUUAAAACUAUAAAAUAAAUUUUCUAUUAUAGUGAAACAAAAAUUACUAUAAAAUAAAAAUAAUUUUAAUAUUCAUUUUUAAUACAAGUCAAAUAAGUACUUUAAUUAAUUUUUUUUAUCAUGAUUUCUUAUGUUUUUUUUUUUUUCUAGAAAUUAUUUUAAGUAAUAUAACUAAUUUUUUUUUUAAUGUUUUAUAAAAAUAAGGAUAUUUGGCAAGUUGUUUUUAUAAAAGGAUUUUAAAAAUAAAUGGAUUUUUUUUUUUUUUAAAAAAAGAACAAAAUGAUUUGUUUGAAUAAAUUGUUUUGAUUUUGUAAAAACAUUUUAAAUUCAAUUUAUAUAAUAUUAAUUAAUUAAAUUAAAUUGAAGUUUUAUUGAAAAUAAAAAUAAUUUUGUAAUUAAAAUUAGAUUAAAAAAUAUAUAGGUUUUAAUAAAUCGUAAAUAGUAAUAUUAUAAUAAAAUUAUAAAUUAUAUUUUUAACAUAAAAUAUACUAUUUAUUACAUAUUAAAAAAAAUAUUUUAUUAUAUUAAUAAUUUUAUGGUAUUAAUGAGUUUAUUAUUUAAGUUUUAAAUUAUUUUUAAAAAUUAAUAAAUUUGUUAACAAAUGCAAUGUACUAAAUGUGGUUUAAUUUGGAGUUAAUUUGUUUAGGGAAAAAAAUAAAAAAUAAAAAUCUUAUGUAAAAGAGAAAUAAUAGAGUGUGUGUGUUUUUUUUUAUUAUUUUUAAAAAUCAGUAAAAAGAACUUUUACUUAUUGCCUAAAAAUUAUUCUCUAUUUUAUUUUAUUUUUUAAAUCUAGAAAUAGAUAACAAUAAUAAAAAAAAUUAAAAAAGAAAAAUGUUUUUUAAAACUCAGACUUAUAAUUGCUUUUGUUUCUCAUUCGCACCCCUGGAUUCCUGGAUUCUAAACACAAAAUUAAGUUGAAUCGUCCAUCUAUCUUGUAAGCCAAGAAUUCACAUAGAAGAAAUAAUCGGAAUUUGAUUUGAUAUCAGAUUUAGAGUGGCUCACUACUCAUGCAUUGUCCCACAAUAGUAAUGCUUUGGGCCGAGAUAAACCCAUUUGUGGGCCCAAAUAAAACCCCUGGUUUGAAAACAUCGAUUUUACAGUGGCCCAAAAGAUUAUCUAUGAGGGGAAGAUAACUUGGAAGUCAAGCAAACACAUUUAUCGCUAACUUUUCUCUAAUUAUAAAAUUAUAACUUGGUCUUCUACACGUCUCACUUAAGAGGCGGAGCCACUUGGCACUACCUUUCCAUAUUGUAAAAGGAGAAGAAGCAGAAGGAGAAGAUUCUUAUGCCAUUCCACACACCAUGGCUAGUACUGCUAUGCUGCUUGGCCCGCCGGCUCUCCGCCAUCCUAAUUCUCCCGCCGGCACUGUCUUUGAAGAUGGGGUCAUUCUAACGGAUUCCCUGAUCGUCCGCACCAGUAAUCUGGAGCUUUCUGAAAAACCGCCACUGGAAUCCCUGGCGUAGUGCUCUGUCAGUGGGGAUAUUGCUAUGGAUUGUUUGGAUUCCCAAGCCCACAAUCUUCAUCUUCCCGGGAAACCGCCGAUGGGCUUAACGGAAAACAAGUCUCCGACCUUUUUGUCUUCCGGGAACCCGUGCUUGGACUUCUUCUUCCAUGUGGUUCCCGAUACGUCGUCUGAUGAUCUGAUCCGACGGUUUGAGUUGGCUUGGGAAUUCAAUCCGCUGACGACGUUAAAACUGAUAUGCAACUUGAGAGAGGUGAGAGGCACCGGAAAAUCUGACAAAGAGGGUUUCUACACGGCGGUUCUCUGGCUCCACGACCACCAUCCCAAAACCCUAGCCUGCAAUGCUAGGGUGUUGGCCAGCUUCGGUUAUUUCAAGGAUUUUCUCGAGAUUCUCUACCGGCUUCUGGAGGGCCCUAAAAUUCGAAGAAUCGAAAAGAAAGACUGGCUGGAUCGAAAAGGAAGGAAGAAAAAUUCCCGGAAAAGGAACUCAAUAUUCAAGCGAGAAAAUAGGCCUGGAGUUGAAUUUCCUGUAGAAGAGAAGGAUGUGGAGUAUAUGGUGGAAGAAUUUGUGGAUAAAGAAAAGGCUAGGGUACUGAGAAAGGAGAGAGAACUUGCUCUUGCCAAAAGAGCCCUGCACAAGUAUUCUACUGAUUCUAAUUAUCAGUUCUUACAUGAUCAGAUUUCAGAUUUAUUUGCUGAACUUCUGAAAUCUGAUAUUCAGUAUUUAAACUCCGGUGAGCUUUACAAGAUUAGUCUCGCAUCCAAAUGGUGUCCCACAAUUGAUUCUUCUUAUGAUAAAUCCACCUUGAUAUGUGAAAAUAUUGCUCGAAAGGUUUAUUCUCGCGAGGAAUAUAUAUCCAGAAUACCAAGGAAUUGAGGAGGCUCACUAUGUUAAUAGAGUCAGGGAUAGGUUGAGAAAACAAGUACUUGUUCCAUUACGUAAGGCCCUGGAGUUGCCAGAGGUUUUCAUGUGUUCGAACCAGUGGGGAUCACUUCCCUACAACCGUGUGGCUUCAGUGGCCAUGAAAUCAUACAAGAGCCUCUUCUCAAAACAUGAUACAGAGCGGUUUGGUGUGUAUCUUGAGAAAGUGCAAACUGGGAAGGCUAAGAUUGCAGCUGGUGCAUUACUUCCCCAUGAGAUUAUAGCUUCAUUGAAUGAGGAGGAUGGCGAGAAAGUUGCAGAGCUUCAGUGGGCGAGAAUGGUGGAAGAUUUAUCAAAGAAUGGGAGGCUCACAAAUUGCAGUGCGGUAUGUGACGUAUCAGGAAGUAUGAGUGGAACUCCAAUGAAGGUGUGUGUGGCUCUGGGGCUGUUAGUUUCAGAGCUCAGUGAAGAUCCAUGGAAAGGUAAUGUAAUUACUUUCAGUGCAAGUCCUGAGCUUCACAAGAUCCAAGGAGACAGCCUUGUAUCCAAGACUGAAUUUGUGAGGAUGAUGGAAUGGGGUGCGAACACUGAUUUUCAGAAAGUUUUUGACAGAAUCUUACAAGUAGCAGUGGAGGGAAAUCUGAGUGAAGAUCAAAUGAUAAAGAGGGUUUUCGUUUUCACUGAUAUGGAGUUUGAUGAAGCUUGUGGGAGGUAUAACUAUUGUGAAUAUGACUAUGAUAUGGAGGAAAUUGAUGAGAGUCAGAAGGCAUCUCAGAAGUGGGAGACAGAUUAUGAAGUGAUACAGCGGAAAUUCCAGGACAAAGGAUAUGGAAAAGUUCCGGAGAUAGUGUUUUGGAACCUUAGAAACUCAUCAGAGACUCCAGUGAUGGCCACAGAGAACGGGGUGGCCUUAGUAAGCGGGUUUUCGAAGAAUCUGUUAGACCUUGUUUUUGGAAGGAGGUGGAAUUCUGACCCCUCAGGAUGUGAUGGAAUUAGCCAUCUCUGGUGAAGAUUACAAGAAACUUGUUCUAUUUGAUUAAGAUAUCAAGAGAUUUAUCAAUAAUAAUAUGUUUUUUUUUUUCUAUGUGAAAUACAUGUAAUAUUAACUAUGGAGUUAUCAAAGUUCUGGAAAUUUAAUUAUUUCUUCUUUUCAAGUUUUGUUUGUCUUUGUUAGGAAUUCCCCUUGGGCGGACCCAGCUGGGGACUUGGAUUGAGGAAGUAAGGAGGCGAAAUUGUGUUCUUCUAUGGACAGAGAAAAAAGAUAAAAAUAAAAAAUAAAAAAGGAGGUUAUUUGCAUUUGGAUGUCAUGUGGUUUCAGGGUACAACUACAAGUUCGAAAUUGUACAUAAUGUGAAAAUUCCUGUGUGGAGAACAGCAUAAAUAUGUAUCUCAGUGUGUUUUGUUUGAGCUAAUUGGCAAAUUCGCUUUAAACAUGGUCACAUGGAUGCAUAUUUAUUUGUGAAAUGAUAGUAGUCGAUUACUUGGUCAGUAAGGUUUGUAUCUCUAACUCCAACAUCUUAUUGUAGUCUUUUAAAAUGUCAAAAGUUUAAUGCUAGCUUGAGAAAUUUUGGAAUGGAGACAUUCUAAACAAAGUUAAUAAUCCAUGAGACUUGGUAAAACCGAUCAGAUGAUGCUUACGUACAUGAAUGCCUUCUUUAAGCCGUAUCCUAUUUUCAUUGAAUGAGACGUGCCAUCUAGUUUUGUUCUUGUCUUGAUUGGAUCAUGAUCCCGGGAAUUGAUUACUGUUCUGAAUUUGCGAAUGUUCAAGGUAUUAGAGAAAGUUAAUAUUAUCGUUAAUUUACAUAUUAGUAUUUAUCUAGUUAUUAUAUAUUAGUUUGAAUUAUAAUAUAAUAUAGAAUUUGAAUCAAGUUUACUAUUAGUUUGAAUUACAAUAGGAAAUAAAGUUUGAAUUAUAGUAUAACUCAAAUAUAUUUGUAUAUAAAUAUCCAUCUUUAUCAAUGAGAAUAGUAAACCAUAUUUUUCUCUAUCUUCUUCUUUCUCUAUAUAUAUGGUAUCAAAGCCUCCAAAUCCUAAACCUAGUCUCAACUUAGAGCAAAUUUAGGGUGCAGGGUUUAGGCCCCGCCUCCCCCAACCCUUACCACAAAUGGUAGUGACCUUGUUAUGCCUAUGUAUUGUCAAUGCCUCAUUUUCUAUGGUCUUCAAUACAAUAUCUAGUUUCAAUGUCUCUUUCCUUACUAUCUCCAAUGCAAUAUAUUGAUUUCAAUAUCUCUUUACAACCAAGAGCUCCAAAUUUUCCUGGUUCAAAUCUACCAUAAUUUUUAUUCUCCUUUGCUUUUUACCAAUAUUAGUUCCCCUAAUUUAAUAUAUAUCUCUUUAUUACCUUCAACUCUACCUCUCUCUUUCUUUAAAAGCUUCCUCAAAGAUUUGAUUGCUUUCUUGCAUGUUUUGGGAAAACAAACAUGCUCAUAUUCUAUUACCUCUACUUGAGAUCUGCCUUAUACUCUACCUUCUUCUUUACCUCCUAUAUCAUCUACUACAUUAGCUUCAAAAACAUUAUUUAGUUUGAUGCUAAAUAAGGCUCCUAAUCCUACCCUUCCUUCAACUAACUUUCUUUUACAAGUCCCUCAAAGUUUUUUUUUUUUUUUUUUUGGAAAUUUGGCUUAGAAAGAUUUCAUUACUCUUACCUAAUCUUUCAACCAUCAAGUCGAAUCCACUUAUCUCUUGAAUCCAAGGAGACUACCCUCCACAAAAACAAGGAGAUUGACCCCCACAAUAACAAAGAGAUUGUCCUCCAUAGAAACAAAGAGAGCUUCCUUCAUGGAAGCCGAAUACAUCGCAAUCUAUUUUCUUUCUCUCAAGAUCAAAUCUCCAAUCGGAGCUCCAUCUUGUGGGGAUAUAUUAGAAAAAGUUAAUAUUAUCCUUAAUUUACAUAUUAGUAUUUAUCUAUAUUAUAUAUUGAAUUAGAAUAGAAUAUAGAAUUUGAAUUAAGUUUACUAUUAGUUUAAAUUACAAUAGGAAAUAGAGUUUGAAUUAUAGUAGAACUCAAAUAUAUUUAUAUAUAAAUAUCCAUCAUUAUCAAUGAGAAUAGUAUUCCAUAUUUUUCUCUUUCCCUGAGGCUUCAGAAUGUGAUCUUGAACAUUUGAUCUUUUGGAUUCUUCUUGUUUCGGUGGUUUAAUAUAAUGGAAUGUUUAAUUAUAGCCUACUUUAUCACCAUGGAUGUGCUCCUGCAGAUUUCUUGAGGGUGAUGGUUAUUUUGUCAUGUUUCUUGAAUGGUUUGCAUCAGCUGCCUGAGCUGUUGUUGCUGGUCACUUUUGCAACCAGGGAAAGAAUCAUGGCUUUGGAGAAGCCAGCUUCUGUUUUUGUUGCCCAGCUGUUAGUUCACUAAGAUUGGGGGUCCUAACAUGUAUGUAUAAUCAUAAGCAAGGAAAUUUUAUGUCUUACGCUAGAUAGGUACCAUGAUAUGAUGUUUGAUUGAUUUAUUAACUCUACCUGUUUCAAAAGGCAUCAACAUUAAUUUUACCCUUUUAACACAUUGGAUUGUUUGACCUUACGAGAUUUUCUAUUUCUGUACUAUUUGAACUGCAAUCGUUAUGGUCCUUAGGUCUCUAAACCUUCGUUUAAAAUAAAAGUAAGGAGCACACAUAGUAAAAGUUAAUUUUGGGUAACUUUUAAAACAAAGAGAAAAGUAAAAGUUGUUUUUGAGAAAAACAUAUAGAAAUUGAAAGAUUUUUUAUUUUGAGAAAAAAAAGUCAUAGAAAAGAAAUAAUAUCCCCAUAUAAGUAGAUAUGAUCUAUCCGAAGUGUAGCUACUCUCCUGGAUUUAUUCUAACAUUUUAAAAUUUUUCUCAAUGGGCAAAGGAAUAUCAAAUCAAGCUUGAGUAGGAUUAAUUUCUUAAUUUUUAAAAUAACUUAUAAUUAAAAUUUUUUGGUGUUUUCUUUUUUGGACAAUUUUUUAUGAAGACUCUGAAUCAUGCAAGAGAUAUGGUUAUUUUAAAAAAAAAAAUAAUUUAAAACUCAAAUACAUAAUCAAUGUCACAAAUUUAUAAACAAAAGGUUUUUAAAAAAUACUAUUAUUUCCCCUCUACACAUAAUUUUACUUUUCCGAUUUAUUUAUUUUUGUUGGAAAACAGUCUUCAAAUCAAGUAAAAUUAAUAUGUUAAAUUUGUUAAACAAAUAAAUUUUAAAAUACAAUUUGGAACUCAAAAAUCAAUUCAAGUAAUGCUAAAAUUCAAAAAAUCAAAUUUGGAAUAAAAUGACUUUGUAAAUUUUUUUACUAAACAAAUGAAUUUUAAAUCAAGUGAGAUUUAAUACAUUGGAUUUUUAUGAGAAUAGUAAUUUUAAAAAUUAAUUUGGAACUCAAAAAUAGACACAAUAAAUACCAAAAAUCAAUGAACCAAAAUUGGUUUGGAAUAACUCCAUAAUUUUUUAUUUAUUUAUAUAUUUAUUUUUUUGUGCACACGAAUUUCUUACUAAGCAUAUUGCUUCCAAAUUGAGAAAAAUUUACUAUUUAGAUUUUUUUAAUGAGUUUAAUGGUAUUUAAAAAUAAUUCAAAAAUUCGAAAAUUGACUAAUUUAAUAUUAUAAAUUCAUAAACCAAGACUAAUUCAAAAUGCAUUGGGGGCUAAGGGGGUUGAAAUUAAUGCUCCAUUUGGUUGUGGCCACCAAUUGGCAAUGGCCACCAAUCAACCAAUCAAGGUGGCUAAGGGGGUUGAAAAUAGGGACAAUGGGGUGGGUUUGGGACAGGACACUCAUAUCCCAUUCCCAUCCCAAUUACACAGUUAUUUCCCAUCCUUAUUCCAAACUUGUGUUGGGGCAAGUUGAUUUGUUCCCAUCUUUGUUAACGAAAUGACUAAUAACCUCAUCCUCUCCUUGUCUUAGAUGUACAUUUUCUCAAAUUUGGUCAGGUAUGAUUGAUUCAAGCCCUAACCUUAAUUGGUAAUGAGUGGAUACCACACCUAAUUGCAUUCUUCUUUCGUUGCAAAAUAAUGAGAUUAUAAUAAUCUAGCAAAUAAGAAAAAAUAGUAUGGAAGUUCAAAUUAACACCAUAACUAUCAAUAAUUUUAAGCUUAUAGAUGACUUAAAUGAUUGAAAACUAAUGCAAAAUACUAAAAAAAAAAAAAAUCAUCUAAAGAAUUCACAAGAGAAUAGAACGAACAAAACCAAAUAGGAACAUGGGUCAACAUUAGUUACAGAUUUUGAUCCCUUUCAAGGCCAAUCUUUGAACCAAGACUUCAUCAAAUCUACUACUUCAAAGGCUUUUGUGUUCUUCUUGAGUUGUACUCUGGAACAAAGACUUCGAGGUGAUGCUUUAGAUGAUUGCAUUACACAUAUUUAGGGUAGGGAGAUUGGAGAAGCUUGAAGAUGCCAACGAUGGGUACAAUUGAGUGGUCAAUAAGAACAAUGUGGCCUAUGACUAGUUUGAUGUCAUGGUAUAGGAGUUUUGGGCAUUGAGGUGAAAGCAAGAGCAACAUGGAAUUGAUUUCAAAGUCUUUCAAUUAGUGUAAAGGAGGAAGAAGAAGUGGUAUUGAUCCUAGAAAUAGUGUUUUAGGUGUUGCAUUAGAGGAAAAGAAAAAGAAAAAGAAGGAACCAUUGGAAUUAGUACGAGUGUGAAGAGAGAAGUGUAUACAUAAGGGGAAGUAAAAGCAAAGUUCUAAAAAUUUAUUUUUUUAUUGGUGGUGUAUGGUUGCAUGAUUAUCCCUAUAAAUAAUAGGAGUUUUUUGGUGUUCUACUAGUAGUUGAAGGAUAAUUUCAUAAGAUAAUAUUUAGAGCGGGGUGGGGUGAGUUGUGACAAAAUCCAUACCCGUCCCAAACAUUGGUUCAGGUUUUUAAAAUAUUUUCAAACUUAUCAUAUACCCAAUUUUAUAUUUCAUACUUGUCCUAAUAGAGACAGGUUAGUCAGGGUUACUUGAGUAGCCUACAAAACUAUCAUCCCUAGUUGAAAUGCUCUUUUUGGCAGUGGCAGCUAGAAGCUCGAUCGAUUGACCUACAAGACUAGUUGUCAUCAUUUUAAAAAGAGUUUUGGCUUUGGUUGUGAGUGCAAUUGAAUCUAAACUAACAUUUCCUUAAUGCAUCUACUUCAAUCCUAAACUUCUUACUUAAGCCUCAAUUGUUGUUAAGAUUUUGGAAAACCCAUUUCCUUAAAUUGUAAAUUUAAGAAAAAAAAAAUUAAAAGUGAGACAUUUCUUGAUUGAAUGUUGUUAAAGGUCCCUUGGAAUUAAGACUUGGUUGAAGCCUUGGAAGAUUAGCAGAACUCUCAACUUAUGUUUGAACCUUGAGGAGAGUGGACGUAGGCCAAAAUUUUGUCAAACCAUUAUACAAAUUGAGUUUGAAUUCUCAUUUCUUGAUUUCUUAUUUAUUUGCUUUUUCUUAUUAUUACUUGAAUUGUCAUUUGCAUUCAUUAAUGUUAAAAUUGGUUAUAAUUAGCCAACACUAAUUCUCUUUCCCCUUCCCUUAAUUUCUUGGGUGUAAACCUAGGUUGGAUUAACUAGAUUUUAUCAAAUCUAUUAAGAUGGUAAAAGAAUAAUUAUUCUUAACAUACAUAAGAUCAUCUUCAAUCAAAUGACUCAUUGGCUGAUAUGUUGAAUUUGCUUAUUACUUGCAACUCAAAAUUGUGUUCUAGUUGAUAUGUCAAGUCCUGAGUGUAUGGACAUUAAAUUUGUAGUACGUGAUGAGUAUUUAGAUGGUCCAAUUCCAAGAAAGUGAUUGAAAACUAGUUCAAGAAAGGUGCAAAAGGGAAUUGUUUUGGUAUUUUCGUUUUUAUUCUUGAAGGUGGCAGAGCUAAAAUUUGAGAAAUCAAGCAAAACAUACUGAAAUUACAUUGAAAGAAAGAAAAUGGGAGUUAAUGUCUUGCAGUACAUGAUAAGGACUUCAUGCAUGUAGUGUGACCCAUGUCUUGGACUGAUGCCACACUCACGGUUACACUUAUACCCUUAGUUCUCUCUUUACUACCUUAGCUAACCUAGAUCAGGUUAUGAGAUAGGCACCUCACCACACCAUUACUUGCCCAUUAAUUAGUGACAUUUUCAAGCAAUGAGGUAACAUGGUGACACCAAGAGGGUAUAUUCCUCACCCCCAACAAGCCUAGACCUGGUCUAAAAAAAAUGGAGAAAAAUGACGUGUUGUUAUGCAGAAAUAUAGCAACCAUGCCUUCCUCAUUACUUAGAUUCAGAAUGUGAAGGUGAAAUUGAGAAACAGAAACUCUUGAAACCAAAAUGAAAAUUGAUACUUUUACGAAGAAUUACAACAACAUUAGAGGAAGACUACAUUCUUCCUCUUUAUUCCUACAUUUCUACACUACUUCUACUCCACUCCAUAUUUCUACAUACAUCUUUAAUCAGUCUUCCCUCCUUUAUAUAGAGCCAUCUUCACACAAAUUCCGCAAGGUAGAAAAGAGGAAUGAAACUUGGAGCAAGGUUCGACUACUGGCUGUAGCUUGUCAAGGCUGAAAGUGAACUUUUUUUCUUGGCUUUUCUGGGCAUAGGUAGUAACUUGUAGGUUCCUUUUUGGAAUGAAAAUGGUACGGCUAGAACAUGUGGCACUCUCUUGUUGGAUGAUGUGUCAAGCAUGUGGCAGCCAUCUAGUGGAGAUUAUGUCAAUUUUGGGAUGGAGAGUUGGCAUCCAAUUGCAAAGAAAUAUGACAUCUACCAACAUGCAAUGUCAACCUAUGUAGAUCAUAUGAAGAUAGAGAGGAAAAAUAUAGAAAUGGAUAUAUAACUAGAACUAGCUUUUUAUUAAAUGAGACGGAGAGCCAACAAUGAAGGAAAAUCAAAAUUUUUGGCUCAUAUCAAAGAAUUCACAUUGUGUUACCCUAGGUUUUCUUAAAACUUACUUUUAUGAUAAUAAAAAAUCAUUAUUGUUUAAUCCUUUGUUUUAAACGCAUGUUUAGCAGGUUGUAAAAUGUAAAUAUCUUUCGAAAUUCAAAUAUGAAGAUAUGACAUCAUUUCAAGCAAUAUAGUCUCUAGGAAUUAAUGUAAAGCUAAAUUAAGGUGCAAUUAAGUUAGUUCAAUGCAUUAUUUUAAGAAACUUGACCUAUCAAAACCUUGUCUUACUUCAAAGCCUCUUUUUCUUUUCUUCCAACUAACAUUUUAAUAAGUGAUCGCAAAAGUACAAAAUUAGAUGAAAUCCAUUUCAAUGGUUAAAAUGAUCAAAUUCAAACUUUUUCUAAGUAUCUUUUAAAAGCAUCAAUAUUGAAAGACAAUUUUAUAUUUAGUCAAAGCUUGGACAGAGCCAAAAAGCACACAAAAAUUUAUAUUUUCUAGCUCUCUACCUUGGAUGGUCUCUUGAUCCUACUUGGAGAUGUGCAUAAAUAAAAGGAUUUGAAAAUGACAAUUGACUAAGUAUGUAGUCAAUCAAUUACUCAUUGAUUGACUAGUUGAUCAAUUAACUUUGCAACAUCAUAUGCAAUCCUAAUAGCUAGUCAUCUAAUCAACUAGGUAGUAAAUCAAUAGGCCAAAAAUAUGUUUAUAAUGACUAUUUUGUACAAAAACCACUUAUAUAGUUAAAUAUAAUGCAUUUCAUUUAUAAAUCUUCUAAUUCUUGAAUAACAAUCCUAUCAUCCUUUGAAAGUUUUUAUUACACCUUUUCUACAUUUGUUCUAAAACUUAUACAUCACCCUUAAUUGUACCAUGAGAACCUAGCAUUUUUUUUUUUUUUUUUGUAUUUCAUCAAAGUUAGCUCUUGUACUCAUUGUUGUAUUAUUUUUAUUGUAACUUAGAGAGCGAGUGUUUUCAAGUGAGUGAAAUUGACUUGUAAAUAUUGUAAAGAUUCAUUGAUAUGUAUCUCAAACUAGGUGUACAAGUUGAAACAUUUGCUAGUAGAUUUUCUCAAGAUUUAGAAUGAGCUUAAGGCUAUCGAAUUAGGUGGGGUUGCGCCAAACCAUAUCACAUCGUUGUUUGCACCUUUUUUUUCACUCUCUUUUACUUAGUUGCUCUAUAUAUAUUGUCUAGCAAUAUCCUAAAGGCUUGAUGGGCUAGGGAGCAUCCCUCUGAAUGAAAAAUUUUCAUUCAAUUCUUAGUUGUAUUACGCAUAUAUAAAAUGCCUCAUUGUUUUAAUGGUAUUCAGUCGUGGCACCACAGAUAUGGACAUCUAAAUUUUAAAAGUUUGAAACUUUUAGCUAAAGAAAAUAUGGUGCUUUGCCUUUUUGGAAAGCAUGUUGAUGAAAUCCAUGAGAAUUGUAUACUUGGAGAGCAACAUCGAGAUAACUUUUUUUUUUUCUUUUUUUAUAAUGCAUUGUUUGUCCAAAUUCCGUACAAAUUAGGCCACCACAUGUUCAUAAUUCUCCCUUCUUGAAUUUGAAAACUCGGACAAUUUGACAAUGCGACACCUAAGUCCGGUUUUUAAAUGCUAAAGUGAAAGGGCAGGUAUGGACCAUUGAAAUGUGAUAACAACUUUUGGCCUUUUCCUUUUCUCUGUAGCCAUGUUGUCUCUUUUUAAUUUCUUUUGCAUGAUUUUCUUACCUAAACAGAAUCAUAGACUUGUUUAAUCUCUAAGUGGGAUUUCAUCCACCUUAAGCUACUGUAUUAUAUCUCGGUGGAGGACAACCGACAUAGAGCACAUGCAAGUGGGUAUAUGGGACAUGAAAUAUCUUCUUAUAAAGCUUGUUUUGCAGUUAAAUUAAUUGGAUAAGUAGACACUGGCGUUUCUAAAUUUCCCACCUAAGAUAAUGACCUUAUCCUUGACUGCUAGAUACACAAACAAUUAUACCUUCAAAAUCUACUGUGAAGUGCUUCAUGUAUGUGUGAAGUAUUAGAAAUUUCUUUCUUGGCAACUUGUUUUUUUCUUUGCGGUCUACUGAUAGGUUUGACUAAAAUUAUAUUCCCUGUCCUGCUAAUUAAUUUUCACGUGCAUGCUCAAAAGAAGAGUAUGACCUUAGUGCACCAAAAUCACUUUCAAUAAUUUGUGAUAAGUUUUUUUGCAUGACAUUAACCUUAUUCAUUUAGAUAAUGUUUAGUUCUCAUAAAUAUUAAGAAAAUGAAAAUAAAUAUUAAGAAAAAUAUUCUUAUAUUUGAUUGUAUUAUGAAAAAUAUCAUAAAAAAUCAAAUAUAAUUAAAAUUAAUUAAUAAUUUAUAUAUUUUAAAAUUAUUUAAUUUUUAUAUUAAAGAUAUAAUAUAAAUGAAAUGAGUUUUAAGUAUUAUAUAAAAAUGAUUUAUUUAUUUAUUUAUAUAUAUAUAUAUAUAUAUAUUUAGUUUUUCUCUUUAUUUUAUUUUCCUUAUGUUUUCCUCACAUUUUCCGGAAUCAAAGAUAGGGAAAUCCACAAUUACCUUCAACUGAGUAGAUUCUAUUGUUUUAGCAAUGUUAGGCUGCUAACUUGUGGUGGUACGAACCAAAUGAUCCAUGUUAAUCUUGGCUUGAUUUAAUUUGGCUCUAUCUCAGAGAACUCAAGGAUCACGUCAACUCUGGUUUCUACUAUUCAGGUCCAUUCCCAGAUGAACUGGUUCAAAUUUGAGAAAAUGGUAACAGACCUUUAGUGAUAUUGGUUUGGAGCCAGUUGCCAAACCUGCCCUGAGCUUUACCACUAAUGUCAAGGGACAAAGCCAUUUGAACAAAAACAAUAGCUUCAAGAGACUGAAUCGUGGAUGAAAUCUGAUCCACAUUUCUUCUCAUUUUGGGAAAAAAUGAGGACUUAACCACAAAGAUUCUACUGCCUCAUAGUGCUUUUCCUGAUCUAAGGUUGGCUCGUUUCCCAAAUUGUGAGGUGCACGUGCCACUCUCACGCUCAGGAGUGUAUCCACGUGGUGGACAUAAGAUGGUGGCUUAAUAUCUGGUGUCGGUGGCUUUACUUUACUAGGAGAGUAGUGUGUCUUCAUCUCAUUCACUGCCAGAGGGUGGCGUAAGCAGUGACGCUAAGGUGGGGCACAGUCAAUAUCAUUUGCAUUUGACCAUUAUAAUUUUCUCCCGGCUUUAAAGUAACCUUAUCGUGAUAAUGGAUUACUAGCACUAGUUCAGAUGACAGUCAUGUUAAAUUCGGACCAUGUUUGUGUCACAUUAUCAGCAACCAUGUGCUUGUGGUUCAUGCUAUCUGCAACUAAACUUGAUAUAUAACCAGGUGAACUUCAAUCUAAAUUCUGGAAGUACUCAUGUGAUAGAUGGUGCCUGUCUGCAGUGAGUGUAUCUAUAAGAGGGAAGGCUUGGCAAAUGUUCAGUUUUCUGGGAAUUCAACAGGGAUCUAAAAUAGAUUGUUUUCUUUGCUGAUUUCAAUGGUUGAAAUUUGAGAAGAUUGUGUCCACAUAACACAACUAUUACUGGUCCUUCUGUUGCAAUUUAUCCUCUAAGGCUCUAACAUGUCUUCCAAUUCCCACUUCCCACUUCCCUGUUACUCCAGGAAAGCUGUUUCUGUCAUUGUGAAGAAGAAAAGAGACUGUACAUAUCGAUGCUUUUAAGUGGACUGGAGAAUUCAUAUCAGGUGGUCUGCAGCCAUACAUGCCACUUUGUGAAGGUUGGAACAGUCAAUCACUAGGCUAUAUUAGUGGGGCCCAGCCACUUCAAUCAAGGACAAGUCUUCAUACUUAAAGUCAAAUUCUGCCUUUAGUCUCAUUAUAAAUUGCUGUUUAAAUAUCAAGCAAACAUUUGUUUAAUGCGAUUAAGACAGCACUAACUCAAUACUUGUUCUAUUUUUGGAUGCAAAUGCUUGAUAGUUUCAUCAUUGGAGGGGAUAAAGGUGCAUUCAUGAUUAUGAAUACUUGUAGUUAUAUUUUCAUUCUCUUUUUUCUCAAUGGGACUUGUUGGCACAAUUUUGCUGUUCAGAAACCUACCUCUCCAUGGAAAAUCAGUUGUGAUUGAUAUUACUGGAUAUAUUCAAGAAAGCUAAAUGUAGAUAGCACAAAAUAUUAUCGACAUAAAUAGCAUUAACAGCGUACGUAUGUCUCAAUGCUCAUCAGCUAUAAGCAAGGGGCAAACACUUACUAUGAGCAACUUACGUCAAAAUUCCGGAAUAGGACAUAGAAGUGACAGGUCAGUAAAUAUAGAACACUGCAUAUGAGUCACAAGAAAGGAAAUUACGGGUACAUAGCAGCUCUUAUUUUACAUCCUACUCAUACUGAUCAAAGUCACUCAGUUGGGAUGGGUGGGAGUGGGAGGUUUGUGGGGUGGCUUGUGCGGAGGAGUUGGCAGCUUCUUUCCAGGACCUGGUUGCUUCUCUGCUGGAGUUGAAGGAGGCUUAAUCUUCCGAGGUGGCUUGUAUGAGUCUUCAGCAUUCUCAGCAGGAGGGUGACCAGGGUUGUGACCACAAUGUGGUGGCUUCUCUCCCUUAGGUGGUUUGCCAACUGGGGUUGGUGGCUUGUGUUCCGGAAGUGGCUUCUCUUUGUGUUCAGGAGGUGGCUUCUCCACUGGAGGCUUGUGUUCAGGAGGUGGCUUCUCCACCGGAGGCUUGUGUUCAGGAGGUGGCUUCUCCACCGGAGGCUUGUGUUCAGGAGGUGGCUUCUCCACCGGAGGCUUAUGCUCUGGUGGUGGCUUCUCCACCGGAGGCUUAUGCUCUGGUGGUGGCUUCUCCACCGGAGGCUUAUGCAAUGGUGGUGGCUUCUCCACCGGAGGCUUGUGUUCAGGAGGUGGCUUCUCUACCGGAGGCUUAUGCUCUGGUGGUGGCUUCUCCACCGGAGGCUUAUGCUCUGGUGGUGGCUUCUCCACCGGAGGCUUGUGUUCAGGAGGUGGCUUCUCCACCGGAGGCUUGUGUUCAGGAGGUGGCUUCUCCACCGGAGGCUUGUGCUCUGGUGGUGGCUUCUCCACCGGAGGCUUAUGCUCUGGUGGUGGCUUCUCCACCGGAGGCUUGUGUUCAGGAGGUGGCUUCUCCACCGGAGGCUUAUGCUCUGGUGGUGGCUUCUCCACCGGAGGCUUGUGUUCAGGAGGUGGCUUCUCCACCGGAGGCUUAUGCUCUGGUGGUGGCUUCUCCACAGGAGGCUUGUGUUCAGGAGGUGGCUUCUCCACCGGAGGCUUAUGCUCUGGUGGUGGCUUCUCGAAUGGGGGAUGCGUAGGGUAAUCAGCUAGUGAGGGGGCGGUGAGAACCACCAGGCCAAGCAACACUACUAGCAAGUAUGUAGGAGACAUCUUUGGGUUUGGGCUCAGAUGGUGCAAAACUAGGAGAAUUGGCUAGCCUUUUAUAGCGGAUCGUACCCAAUAAUGAAAUGACACGUGUCAUUAUGACCCAUGUGUCAUGUGGUCGAUUUGGGUCCUACAGUGUUGAAAACUUCGACAUCCACUUUUUUGGCCUUUUGCUUUCUCUACAGUCGCCUUGCUUUUUCCCUCUUUUCUUUUGUUUUCCUCCUGCCCCAUUCUAUCAACUAAUCACAAUUAUGUAGUUGUUUAAUUCUUAAAUGAGAUAUUAUCC